Molecule: long non-coding RNA, 53937 nt
Filed under: Durio zibethinus
Lineage: Eukaryota; Viridiplantae; Streptophyta; Magnoliopsida; Malvales; Malvaceae
Description: long non-coding RNA (DZIB_LNC000482)
Source: RNAcentral
CUUAUCACAAUUGGGUUGAUCUCCCUAUAUAAACAUACACGAGUCACCAGUGGAGACAUGAACAAGCAGAGAUAAAUCGAGCAAAGAUCAACCCACCGAUCGGUAAAUUCCCAGCAAACUCCAGCAAAUCCUUUGUACCAAGUCUUCAUAUUCGUUCCCUACUGUCACAAUUCCCAUAAGCCAACAGCCUACCACAGCAUUACCAAACAGUCCACCCUUUAAGCCUCUCUGCUGCCACCUAUCACCAAUUUAGCUGCCAGAACAAGCAUACCAUUUUCUAAUGUUCGGCGCCGGAACCGCCAUACACCAAACGCAUUAUCACAAUCACCUAUCGCAACUCAAAAACUGCCAUCAUUCAUAAAAAAUUGAGCUGCGGCAGCCACACAUAACUUGAAACUACAAACCUACCAUCGUCGAGUCCUAGACUAAACCUAAGUAGCCAAUUGUUAACAUUUAUCACCACAAACCCAGAAACACCACCCACACACAGAGCAAGAAAUAGAAUAAUAACACAGAUAAAGAAAUAAAGACAUAAGUAAGGAAAAAAAGGGUUUUUAGCAACGAUCAUUUGGAGCUCGAUACUAUGAAUUUGUGGGGUUAUUUUUUGGGGAUCCUAAAUUGGUGUAAGAGAAGAAAGUGGUGAAAAGCCACAAUGUUUGUGGCAAGUGCAAUGGUAACGAUGGUGGCCAACGGCAACAGGUGAGCUUUCACAGAUCGGGAUCCAGGAACAAAAAAAACACAAAGAAGCUGAAACGGGGGUGCAAAGGCUGCGACUUCAGCUCCAGAUCUAGGCCAUUGGAGAACAAUUUGUGAAAAACCAAACUCAGAUAUGAGACAAGGGACAAGGAGCCUGAAAGGAGGUUUGCUGUGAAAUGUCGGUGUCAAUGGAGGUGGGUCGACAAAAACGGCGGAGCCUUGUCGGUUUCUGGGCUGUUUGAAGGACGGUGGUGGUCGAAAAAUCUUUUCUAGAGAGAGUAGAGAACUUGUAGCAAGAGAAAGAAGCAGGAUAUGAAAAAAUGAAAAGAGAGAGUUGAUGUUGGGUUACAUACGGUGGUUUAAAGUGGCGUUGUUUUGGGCACUAAGGAAUCGGGUUCAUCCGACUCAUUUUGAGACCCGUGUCUGUGACCAGGUUUGGGUCUGGCCCAACAGAAAUAAUUUGUCCCAGCCCGCAUGCCAUAUCGGAAAAAAUUCAAGCCCAAUCUUUAGCCCAAUUCAUCCACAUUUUUUCAAGUUUGGAUCGAGAUUCAGUUUGGCCUAUUCAAAGAUCAAUUUCCUUGAACUUCAAUUUGGAGUUUAACCCAAUUAUUGGUACAUUUUUAUUUUAUUGUUAAUUGCUUUAGUUACUUUAAUUAAUUUUUUAAAUAAUAAAAUUUUAAAAUUACUUCAAUCUAUUGAAUUAUUAGAGAAUUUAAAUAUUUGAAUUAAGUCUUACCAAAUUAUUGAAAGACUUAAUGAAAAUUUUUGAAAAUAAAAGUUUUAAUUAUACCAAACUAAAAUAAAAAUUGUAAUUACACUAAAUUAUUAGAAGAUUUAAAUUUUCAAUUAAAUUUUAUCAAACUAUUGAAAGAUUUAAUGGUACUAAAAGUUAGUAUCCAAAAUUCAUGUCCCUUUUGUGCAUUUCGCUUCAAAACCUUUAAAUCUAUCUACCCAUGUUCUUUUUCUAUCUUUUUGAAUUACUUUAAUUGAAAAAUCAUCAAUGUUAGAUUUUAACAAUUCAAUGUUUUUCUCAUGGUUUGUCUAUGAUUUCUAUACUUAAAAUUGUACUUCUUGUUUUUAUGUAACAAAAGAUUAACAAGGUAGUGUAGAUCUACAGGGGUUUAAAGUCAUAAAUCAUAUUCAAAAUUUUUAAUUGUGUUACAUCCAAGUCAAUUGGUUAAUGGUCAACACAAUUAGGUCAUUGGGCCAUCCAUGUGAGCCAUGCCUAAACAAUCAUGUCACUUGCUGAGGAAAUGACUCGCCCUUCACCAAAAAAAUGACUCGCCCAAGGUUCCACCAACAAUUUGUCAAUGUAGUCAAUUCAGAAUUGACCAACUAGCAUCCAAUUUGGUUGGGAUCACUAAAUGCAACUCAUGUCUACCUAAUCUCAACAUAUCUUACGCGGGCCCACAUCCUUGAAAUUUACAUUACACCUCAAAGAAUUAAUUGAUUUCUUUUUCUCUAUUCAUUACUUGUUAAUCACUCUGAACGAUAAUAAAUGAAUAAACAAAUAAAUAAAUAGUAAUAACAACAAUUAUACCAAUAAAUGAAAAGUAAAAAAUAAAAAAGUGAGGUGUAACACAAAGGCUUCUUAAGAGGUCACCUAUUCAAGUAGCACGCUUAACUAAGGAGCUUUGUUGUGAUAUGAUAUUUUAGUGCUAGUAUGAUCACACCCAUCACUUGAAGAGCAAAUAAAAUAUAUAACCCUUCAUUCUUUGCAAAUUGCUUAACACAUCCCAUGUGAGCCCAUAUUCUAAGAAUUUGUGUUACAUGUUAAAAAAUUAAGUGAUUUCUCAAGUCAUUACUAAUUAAUCACUCCGAACGAUAAUCAAAUAAUAAACAAAUAAAUAAAUAGUAAUAACAACAACUUUGUCGACAAAUGAAAAGUGAAUAAUAAAAAUGUAAGGUGUAACACAAGGACCUCAUAGGAAGCCGCCCAUCAUCAUAUUGUUCUCACCCCAAGUAUGUUUAAUUGCAGAGUUUUGAUGGGAUCUCAUGUUUUAGUGCUGUUAUGAUCGCACCAGUAACUUAAUGCACAAACAAUAUAUAUAUAUAUAUAAUGCUUUUUUCUCUGCACAUUGCUCAACAUAUCUCAUACAGGGCCCCAUUUUCAAAAUUUGCAUUACGCCUUAAAAAGUUAAUUGAUUUCUUGAAUAAUUACCAAUUAGUCACUUCAAACCACAAUCAAUGAAUAAACAAAUAAAUAAAUAGUACUAACAACAAUUAUACUAACAAAUGAAAAGUAAAAAAUAAAAAUAUGAGGUACAACACGAGGACUUCCUAAUAGGUUAUUUAUCCUAGUAUUACUUUCGCCCAUGUAUGUUUAACUAUGAAAUUCUAAUGGGACCCAGUGGUUUAAUGCUGAUACAAUCGCACUUGCCACUUGAUACACAAAUAAUUUAUAUAACCCUUCCUUCUCCGCACGUUGCUUAACAUGUCACAUGCAGGCCCCUAUCCUUGAAAUUUGCAUUACGCCUCAAAGAGUUAAUCGAUUUUUCGAGUGAUUACCAAUUAAUUACUUUGAACAAUAAUUAACAAAUAAACAAAUAAAUAAAGAGUGAUAACAACUUUAUUGACAAAUGAAAAGUAAAAAAUAAAAAUAUGGGUUGUAACAUAAGAAAUUCCUAAAAGGUCACCCAUUCUAGUAUUACACUCGCCAAGCAUUCUUAGCUGUGAAGUUUUAUGUGAUUGAUACUUUAGUGCUGGUAUAAUUGUACCUACCAUUGAUACGGGCCCCCAUACUUGAAAUUUGCAUUAAUUGUAAAAAAGAUGAUCGAUUUCUUGAGUCAUUGCCAAUUAUUUACUCCAAACAAUAAUUAAUGAAAAAAUAAAUUAAUUAAUAGUAAUAACACCAACUAUACCGAUAAAUGGAAAGUAAAAAUAAAUAUGUAAGGUGCAACAUAAGGACUUUCUAAAAGGUCACCCAUCCUAGUGCAACUAUUGUCCAAGCAUGCUUAACUGUAGAGUUUUGAUAGGAUUUGGUACUUUAGUGAUGCUAUGAUCACAAACAUCACCUGACAUGUAAAUAAUAUAUAAAACCCUUCUUUCUCCGCAUGUUGCUCAAAAUAUACCCAUUGGGCUCCCAUAUUCGUAAUUUGCAUUACACAUUAAAGAGUUAAUCAAUUUCUCAAAUCAUUAGCAAUUAAUCACUCUAAACGAUAAUCAACAAAUAAACAAAUAAAUAAAUAGUAAUAACAACAACUAUACCAACAAAUGAAAAUAAAAAAAUAAAAAAAUGGGUUGAAACAUGAGAAUUUCUCAGAAGGUCACCCAUUCUAGUACUAAUGUCACCCAAUAAUGCUUAAUUGUGGAGUUUUGAUGAGAUUUUGUGCUUUAGUGCUAGUAUAAUCGCACCUAUUACUUAACGCGCAAAUAAUAUAUAUAACCCUUCUUUCUCUGCAUGUUGCUCAACAUAUUCCACAUGGACUUCCUUCCCCAGAAUUUGUGUUAUGCUUCAAGCGUUAAUUGAUUUCUAGAUUCAUUACUAAUUAAUCAUUCCUAAUGAUAAUUAACGAAUAAACAAAUAAAUAAAUAAUAAUAAUGACAAAUGAAAAGCAAAAAAUAAAAAGGUUUUAACCCUCAUAUGAAAAAUAAUUGUAUAAACAACUAUAUCGACAAAUUGAAAUAAUGCUUAAUUGUAUUAACAAUUAUACCGACAAAUAAAAAGUAAAAAAUAAAAAUGCAAGGUGUAACACGAAGACUUUCCAGGAAGUCACUCAUCUUAGUACUACUAUUGCCUAAGAGUUUUGAUGGGAUUUAGUGCUUUAUUGUUGGUAUGAUUGCACCCAUUAAUCGACUCCAAAUAAUAUUCAUAACCUAUAUUUCUUCACACGUUGCUUUAUAUAUCCUGUAUAGGCCUCUAUCCUCAAAAAUUGCAUUACACCUUAAAUAAUUUAUUGAUUUCUUGAGUUAUUACCAAUUAAUCACUCCGAAUGAUAAUAAAUGAAUAAACAAAUAAAUAAAUAGUAAUAAUGGCAAAUGAAAAUAAAAAAAUAAAAAUGUUUCAACGGAUGGAAAAAUAAUUGCAUAAACAACUAUGCCAACAAAUGAAAAGCAAAAAAUAAAAAUGUGGGUUGUAACACGAAGACAUCUUAAGAGGUCACCUAUCUUAGUAUGUUUGAGUAUGGAGUUCUAAUUGAAUCCAAUGGUUUAGUGCUGGUAUAAUCACUUCUAUCACUUGACGUGCAAAUAAUAUACAUAGCUAUUUUUUCUCUACAUGUUGCUUUAUAUGUCCCAUAUGAGCCUUUCCUCCGAAAUUUGCAUUAUGAUUCAAAUAGUUGAUUGAUUUCUUAGGUUAUUACCAAUUAAUCACUUCAAAUGAUAAUUAACGAGUAAACAAUUAAAUAAAUAGUAAUAAUGACAAAUGAAAAACAAAAAAUAAAAAUGUUUUGACCCUUAGAUGAAAAAAUAAUUGCAUAACAACAAUACCAACAAAUGAAAAAAGAAUAAAAAUAUAGGAUGCAACACUAGGACUUCCUAAUAGGUCACCCAUCAUAGUACUAGUCUCUUCCAAGCACGUAUAACUACGGAGUUCUUGUGAGAUUUGGUGCUUUGGUGCUAGUAUGAUUGCACUAGCAAUUUCACGCAUAAAUAAUAUACAUAACCCUUUUUUUUCACGCUUUGCUCCAUUUAUCUCACGUAGGCCCUCAUAUUUGGAAUUUGCAUUACACCUCAAAGAGUUAAUCAAUUUCUCGAGUCGUUACCAAUUAGUCACGUCGAAUGAAAAUCAAUGAAUAAACAAAUAAAUAAAUAGUAAUAAUGACAAAUGAAAAGUGAAAAAUAAAAAUGUUUUGACUCUUGGAUGAAAAAAUAAUUAUAUAGACAAUUAUACCAAUAAAUGAAAAGAAAAAAAAUAAAAAUGUGGGGUGCAAUAAGAGGACUUUCCAGUAUGUCACCCAUCCUAGUACUAUUCUUGCCCAAGCAUGCUUGACUAUGAAGUUCUAAUGGGAUUUGGUGCUUUAAAGUUGGUAUGAUUGCACCUAUAACUUGAUGGUCAAAUAAUAUACCUAACACAUCCUUCUCCGUGCGUUGCUCUAUAUAUCCCACACGGGCUCCUAUCCUCAGUAUUUGCAUUACACUUCAAACAAUUAAUUGAUUUUUCGAGUCAUUACCAAUUAAUCAUUUCGAAUGAUAAUAAAUAAAUAAAUAAAUAGUAAUAAUGAUAAAUGAAAAGCAAAAAAUAAAAUUAUUUUGACUUUUGGACUGAAAAAUAAUUGUAUAAACAACUAUACCAACAAAUGAAAAGUAAAAAAUAAAAAUGUAGGGUGUAACAUGAGGACUUCUUAAGAGGUCAUCCAUUCUAGUACUACUCUUACUCAAGCAGGCUUAAUUGUAGAGUUCUGAUAGAAUCUAAAGCUUUAAUGCUGGUAUGAUUGCACUUGUUAGUUGAUGUGUAAAUAAUAUACAUAACCCUUCAUUUUUCACACGUUGCUCUAUAUAUCUCAUGCGAGCCUUCAUCCCCGAAAUUUGCUUUAUGCCUCAAAAAGUUGAUUAAUUUUUCGAGUCAUUAGUACCUAAUCAUUCAGAAUGAUAAUUAACGAAUAAAUAAAUAAAUAAAUAAAUAGUAAUAACGACAAAUGAAAAGUGAAAAAUAAAAAUAUUUUGACCUUUGGAUGGAAAAAUAAUUGUAUAAACAACUACAUCAAAAAAUGAAAAGCAAAAGAAAAAAUGUGAGGUACAACAUGAGGACUUUCUAAAAGGACACCCAUCAUAGUACUAUUCUCGCCUAAACGCGCUUAAUUGCAAAGUUCUGAUAGGAUCUAGUUCUUUAGUGUUGGUAUGAUUGCACUCAUAAAAUUACAUGCAAAUAAUAUAUAUAUCCCAUGUUUCUUCACGUGUUGCUUUAUAUAUCCCACAAGGGCCCUUAUCUUGAAACUUGCGUUACGCCUCAAAGAGUUAAUUGAUUUCUUGAGUUAUUACCAAUUAAUUACUUCUAAUGGUUAUCUACAAAUAAACAAAUAAAUAAAUAGUAAUAACAACAAAUGAAAAGCGAAAAAUAAAAAUAUUUUGGCCCUUGGAUGGACAAAUAAUUGUAUAAACAAUUAUACUGACAAAUGAAAAGCAAAAAAUAAAAAUGUGGGGUGUAACACGAGGACUUCCUAAAAAAUCACCCAUCCUAGUACUAUUCUUACCUAGGCACAUAUAACUACAAAGUUCUGAUAGGAUUCAAAGUUUUAGUGUUGGUAUGAUCGUACCUAUUUCUUGCGCUCAAAUAAUAUACGUAACCUUUCAUUCUCCAUGCGUUGCUUGAUAUAUCCCACAUAGGCCCUCGUCCUCAAAAUUUACGUUACGCCUUAAAGAGUUUAUCAAUUUUUUUAGUCAUUACAAAUUAAUCACUCCGAAUAAUAAUGAAUGAAUAAACAAAUACAUAAAUGGUAAUAAUGACAAAUGAAAUGCGAAAAAUAAAAAUGUUUUGACCUUUAGAUGGAAAAAUUAUUGUAUAAACAAUUAUACUGACAAAUGAAAAGCAAAAAAUAAAAAUGUGACUUGGAACACGAGGAUUUCCCAAAAGGUCAUCGAUCAUAGUACUACUUAACCCAAUCAUGCUCAACUACAAAGUUUUGAUGGGAUCUAAUGCUUUACUGCUCAUAUUACUGCACGCAUUACUUAACGUACAAAUAAUGUACAUAAAACUUCUUUUUUCAUGUGUUACUCUAUAUAUAUCACACAGGCCUCUGUCUUCAAAAUUUGCAUUAUACAUUAAAGAGUUAAUCAAUUUCUUGAGUCAUUACCAAUUAAUUACUUUGAAUGAUAAUCAAUGAAUAAACAAAUAAAUAACUAGUAAUAAUGACAAAUGAAAAGUGAAAAAUAAAAAUGUUUUGACCCUUGGAUGGAAAAAUAAUUGUAUAAACAACUAUACCAACAAAUGAAAAGAAAAAAAUAAAAAUGUAGGGUGCAACACGAAAGCUUUCCAAGAAGUUAUCAAUCCUAGUAUUACUAUCGCCCAAGCACACUUCAGUACGGAGUUAAGAUGGCAUCUGAUGCUUUAGUGUUGGUAUGAUCUCACUUGUCACUUAAUGUGCAAAUAAUAUACAUAGCCCAUUCUAGUACUACUCUUACUCAAGCAUGUUUAACUAUGAAGUUCUGAUGGGAUUUGGUGCUUUAAUGUUGGUAUUAUUACACCCAUUACUUAACGCACAAAGAAUACAAUAACCUUUCAUUUUCUAUGCAUUAUUCUAUAUAUCUUAUGUAGUCUCCAUCUCUGAAAUUUGCAUUACCCCUCAACGAGUUGAUCGAUUUCUCAAACCAUUACAAUUUAAUCACUUCAAGUGAUAAUCAACAAAUAAACAAAUAAGUAAAUAGUAAUAAUGACAAAUGGUCAGUAAAUAGUAAUAAUAACAAAUGGUCAGCAAAAAAUAAAAAUGUUUUAACCCAUGGAUGAAAAAAUAAUUAUAUAAACAACUAUACUAAAAAAUGAAAAGCAAAAAAUAAAAAUGUAGGGUGCAACACAAGGACUUUUGGAGCGGUUACCCAUCCUAGUAGUAUUUUCGCCAAAGCAUAUUUAAUUGCAUAGCUCUGCUGAGAUUUGAUGCUUUAGUACUACUAUGAUCGCACCCAUCACUUGACUCAAAAAUAACAUACGUAACCCUUUUUUCUACAUGCGUUGCUCUAUAUAUCCCAUGCUUGCCCUAUCACUGGAAUUACAUUAUGCCUUAAAGAUUUCAUUGAUUUCUCGAGUCAUUGCUAACUAAUCAGUAUAAAUGACAAUCAAUGAAUAUACAAAGAAAUAAAUAGUAAUAACAACAAAUGAAAAGUGAAGAAUAAAAGUGUUUUGACUCUUGGAUGGAAAAAUAUUUGUAUAAAUAACUAUAUCGACAAAAAAUAAAAAUAUGGGUUACAGGAUGAUGACUUGCUAAGAGGUCAUCCAUCCUAGUACUACUCUUGCCCAAGCAUGUUUAACUGCAUUAUUCUUAUGGGAUCUUGUGGUUUAUUAUUGGUAUUAUCGCAACCAUCACUUGAUCGCCAAUAAUAUAAAUAAACAUUCUUUCUUUAUCCAUUGCUCUAUAUAUCCCACGUAGGCGCCCAUCUUCAAAAUUUAUGUUACGCCUUAAAGAAUUGAACAGUUUUUGAAGUCAUUGCCAAUUAAUCACUUUGAACAAUGAUCAACAAAUAAACAAAUAAAUAAAUGGUAAUAACAACAAAUGAAAAGUAAAAAAUAAAAAUGUUUUGACUCUUGGAUGGAAAAAUAAUUGUAUAAACAACUAUAUUGACAAAUGAAAAAAAAAUAAAAAUGAGCGAUGCGACAUGAGGACUUCCCAAGAGGUCACCCAUCCUAAUACUACUUUGACCUAAGUGUGCUUAACUGCAGAGUUCUAAUAGGAAUCGGUGUUUUAAUGCUGGUAUGGUUGAACCAGUCACCUGAUGCGCAAAUAACAUACAUAACCCUUCAUUCUCCAUGUGUUGCUAUAUAUAUAUAUAUUUAAUGGGGACCUCGUCCCCAAAAUUUGCAUUACUCUUCAAAGAGUUAAUCGAUUUUUUGAGUCAAUACCAAUUAAUCACUUCGAACGAUAAUCAACAAAUAAACAAAUAAAUAAAUAGUAAGAAUGACAAAUGAAAAGCGAAAAAUAAAACUGUUUUUACCCUUGGAUGGAUUAUAAACAACUAUAUCUACAAAUAAAAAGAAAAAAAAUAAAAAAAUGAGGUGCAACACAAAGACUUCCUAGAAUGUCACCCAUUUUAGUAUUACUCUUGCCCAAGCAUGUUUAAUUGCAGAGUUCUAAUGGGAUUCGGUGCUUAAGUUUUGGUAUGAUUGCACCCAUCACUUGAUGCACAAAUAAUAUACGUAACCCUUCCUUCUUUGAGUGUUGCUUUUUAUAUCCCAUGCAGGCCCCCAUCCCUAAAGUUUGCAUUACGCCUAAAAGAGUUGAUCAAUUUCUUGUGUCAUUACCAAUUGAUCACUCCGAACAAUAAUGAACGAAUAAAAAAAUAAAUAAAUAGUAAUAAUGAUAAAUGGUCAGUGAAAAAUAAAAAUGUUUGACCUUUAGAUGGAAAAAUAAUUGUAUAAACAACUAUAUUGGCAAAUGAAAACUUAAAAAAAAAAUGUGGGGUGCAACAUAAAAACUUCCUAGGAAUUCACCUAUCCAAGAACUAUUUUCACCCAAGCACAUUUAAUUACGGAGUUCUAAUGAGAUUUGGUGCUUUGGUUCUAGUAUGAUUGUACCUAUCACUUGAUGCGUAAAUAAUAUACAUAACCCUUCCUUGUCUGAGUGUUGCUCUGUAUAUGCCAGGUGGGCCCUCAUCUCCUGAAUUUGCAUUACGCAUCAAAAUGUUAAUCAAUUUCUCUAGUCAUUACUAGCUAAUCAUUUUAAAAAUAAUCAACGAAUAAACAAAUAAAUAAAUAUUAUUAAUGACAAAUAACAAGCAAAAAAUAAAAAUGUUUAUACAAAUAUACCGAUAAAUGAAAAGCAAAAUAUAAAAAUGUGGAGUGCAACAUGAAGACUUCCUAGGGAGGUUAACCAUGCCAGUACUACUCUCACUUAAGGAUGCUUAACUGUGAAAUUUUCAUAGGAUCUAGUGUUUUAGUGCUAGUAUGAUCUUUACCCAUCACAUGAUACACAAAUAAUAUACAUAACCCUUUCAUCUUCGUAUGUUGCUCAAUAUAUCCCAUUUGGGCCCUUGCCCCCGAAAAUUAUGUUGUGUCUCAAAGAAUAGAUUGAUUUCUCGAUUCGUUACCAAUUAAUUACUUCAAAUGAUAGUCAAAGAAUAAACAAACAAAUAAAUAGUACUAACAACAAUGAAAAAUGAAAACUAAGAAUGUUUUGACCCUUAGAUGGAAAAAUAAUAGUAUAAACAACUAUACCAACAAAUGAAAAGCAAAAAAUAAAAAUGUGGGGCGUAGCACAAGUACUUUCCAAAUGGUCACCCAUCCUAGUACUACUUUCACCCAAGUGCACUUAACUACAGAGUUCUGAUGGGAUCCAACACUUUAAUGUUAGUAUGAUCGCACACAACAUUUAACGCACAAAUAAUAUACAUAACCCUUCCUUCUUCGUGUAUUGCUCUACAUAUCCCAUGCGGGCCCUCGUCCCCGAAAUUUGCAUUACGCCUAAAAAAGUUGAUCGAUUUCAUGAGUCAUUACCAAUUAAUCACUUUGAACUAAAAUAAAUGAAUAAACAAACAAACAAAUAGUAAUAACGUCAAAUGAAAAGUGAAAAAAAAGAAUGCUUUGACCCUUGGAUGGAAAACUAAUUGUAUAAACAACUAUAUCGAAAAAUGAAAAGCAAAAAAAAAAAUGUAGGGUGCAACUUGAGAACUUCCAAAGAGGUCACCUAUCUUAGAACUACUUUCGCCUAAACAUAAUUAACUACAAAAUCCUGAUGGGAUUUGAUGCUUUAGUGCUAGUAUGAUUGCACUUUUCACUUAAUGUGCAAAUAAUAUUCUUGACCCUUUCUUCUUUGUGCAUUGCUCUAUAUAUCACAUAUGGCUCCUGUCUCCAAAAUUCGCGUUAUGCCUUAAAUAGUUGAUCGAUUUCUCGAGCUAUUACAAAUUAAUCACUCUGAACGAUAAUCAACAAAUAAAUAAACAAAUAAAUAGUAAUAUCGAUAAAUGAAAAAUGAAAAAGAAAAAUGUUUUGCGUUUUGGAUGGAAAAAUAAUUGUAUGAACAACUAUAUAGACAAAUGAAAAGCAAAAAAUAAAAAAUGUGAAGUGCAAUACGAGGGCUUCUCAGGAGGUCACCCAUGAAUGAUAAUGUCCAUAAAAAAUUCUUGUAUUCUUUUGAAAAGAAAUGUAGGAUGACAAGGGAAAAAAAUGAAAAAGAUAGAAGAAACCUAAGAAGAUGAUUUGAAAGGGGAAAUGGGGUGACCAAGUGAUUAAUAUGGUGAUGAAUUGGUUGACAUAAGCUAUGAGUUGUGAUCAAUUGAUGGAAAAUAAUGUAGAUCGGUUGAUGGAAUUGGUUUUGAAAUUAUUAGUGCUGAGUAGCUAAAAAGGAAAAUAUGAGAUAAUAGUCUUGAGAACCUUAUUACCACAAUUGAAAUUUUAUGACAUUGAUUUUAGUGACAUUUGCAUUGCAUGUAUUACGUUUUCAUUGUUGAGUAUCUAGAUUAUUGUUUUGAAUGUUGCACAUCGUUGUUUGAACCAAACAUCUGUAUUGUUUAGUGAAAGUUUGAAUUGUUGUAUUUGUAUCAUUUAGAAAGUAUUUGCAUUAUUAUGGUAGCAGUCAUUAUAUACAAAAUUUUGACUUUGGUGAUAGAUUGAAGAUUUUCAUGAGAAGGAAUUUUGAACUUUUUGAAGAAAGCCUUUUAAGAUAAGAUUGUGAAUCUUCAAAUGAUGAAACUAUUUUAUAAGGAAAACAUUUAGAAUUUUAAAGUUGUAGAGCCUUUUUAAAGAAUAUUUUCAAUGUUGAGAAUGAUUUGUAAAGACCUUUGGACAUAAUCUCUAUGAAUUUUCAAAUGACAAUCUUUGAGUUUUAAAUGAGAAUCUUUUAAAUUUGUGUUAAUCUUUUAAGUUUUUUGAAUUCGAAUCUUUGAAAUUUUAAAAGUUUUGAACGGGAACCAUUGAAGUAUUGGAUGUGACACACUAAAGUUUUUUGAAUGAGAAUCUUUGAAAUCUUAUAAGUGAAUCCUUGAAGUUUUUUAAAUUAAAAUCUUUAACUUUAGGUAUGAAUUUCUAGAAUUUUUGAAUGUUUAUCUUUGAAUGUUGGAUGUGAGCCUUCAAAUUUUGAUACGCAUCCUUGAAUUGAACUUUGGAUGUGAAUCUCUUGAAUGGAAUAUGAAAUUCUUGUGAAUCUAAAAGUCUUGCGAAUAUGAAUAUUCUUGCGAAUAUGAAAUUUUUACGAAUUUCACUUCUUGCGAAUCUAAGUUUUUGUGAAUCUAAAAUUCUUGUGAAUUUGAGUUCUUACGAAUCUAAAAAUUUUGUGAAUUUGAGUUUCUAAGAAUUUUUUAGUAGUUGUGAAUUUGAAAUUUUUGUGAAUCUUAGUUCUUAUAAACUUUUGAAAUCUGACAAAUUUUUGAAAUCUUACGAACCUUUGAAUAUCAAAAUGUAAACCUUUGAAUUUAAUUGCAAAUGCUUGAAUUUCAAAUUGUAAACCAUUGAUUUUUAAGUUGGAAUUCUUAAAUUAAAAAUUAUGGUUCUUUAUUUCAGAUGAGAAUCUUUUAAUUUUUUUUUACUUUUGAGUUAAACCAAAUAUAAUGAGUGUCUAAGUCUUUGCAUAAUUCUUAUUUCACAAGAAAUGCACAAAUGGGGGCAACUGUAGACAUUCUAUUUUCUCUAGGAUCAUUUAAAAAGCCCUCAAGUCUCGCAUUAGUUCAAAAUGGGCUUUGAGCUUAGCCUGUUUUGGUUUUGGGUUUAUUAUUUGAGUUUUGGACUCAGGUGAUAGUUAGACCUAAAGCCAAGUCCAUUUGUUUUUUUUUUUUAGAAUUUUUUAUUUAUUUUAGUUUUUUUUUCUAUAAAAAAAUGAUAAACAAAAAUGAUAAGAUUAGGAUUUUGAAUUCAAAUUUGGAUUAAAUUGUUAGAAUAGAGGCUAAAAUUUAAAAAAAGGGAUUAGGCAUGAAAAUCUUAUUCAACCGAACCCUAUAUUUUGCUUAUGGACUAUAUCAAUUCAAUUCUUAUUUAAAUAGGAAUAAUUACACAAAGAAAAUCAGUGAAGAACAGACAGAGUAGGCAACCAUUAGUAGCUAUGGAUGACCACCUUCACCCUACUAUAGCUUAGCCAUUUCCUUACCAUCUCACAGCCAUUUCAUCACCUCUGCCAAAGCACCAUUUGGCCGCCUCCAUCACCAUCCUAAUCCCAACCAUGAAAUCUACCGUUAUAGCAACUACAGCCAUAACCUUAAAAUUAUAUUCCCAAAUCACCACUUCCAUCACCAUUGUCCAACCAAUAUCCAAAAAGAUCCAAUUCAAGCUGCUAGUUCACUAGCCAUACACCUUAAACUCAUUCAAUAACCUAUUCAUUAUCAUCACUACAAGAAUCGAACCCUUACACCAAAGAACCUAAAACCAAAAAAUUAUAGAGAAAAAUCGAGUAAAAACAAUACUUGGCUAGUUGCUAAACCAAACCCACAACCAACACAAACUUAAAAAGAAAAUAGUCAGCACUCGACGUCAUUAACUUCUUGUCAAACUUCCAUUGAAUAUCAAUAGGCAAAAGAAGAAAAACAAAUCCAACAAAUACAAAAAAAAAAAAUUGCAAAGAUUUGAGUUUUGUUUCGGGUUUCCUAGUCCUUAAUAAGAAGAAAAACAAAUGUUGACGAUAAGAGGAGUGGUAACAACGACAUUAGCUAUGGUGGUUGGUGACGACAGUGGGAUUUUAAAAGAUGGAAACCCACAAGCACGAAAAGCUUGAUGAUGAUGAUAGCAUAUUGAAAAUUAGAAAGAUCGAAUGGCAAAAAAAAGCUAAAACGACAGUGGAAAGUUACAGCCUUGACUUCAGGUCUAGGUUUUUAAAGGAUGAUUGAGGGUUUUGUGAUUUUUUUUUUAAAUAUAAAAAUAUAAGGUUUUAUCAACAUAUUGAAAAAUUUUAUUAAUUUUUGACAAAAAAAUUAAAAUUCCAAAACCAAAUAAUUUUCAUAAAAUCCUACUAACAUAUUAUAGGAUAAUUUUGACAAAAAGUCUUUCCAACAUAUUGGAAGAUAUUUUUUAAAUAAAACAUUUUUUAUAAAAAUCAAUUUUGAAUAUUCAAUGAUGGAAUUAUUAAGAACAUUACGAAUAACAACUUUUAUGUAAAUUCUUAAGUGAAAAUUUUUUUUAAAAUUUUACCAACAUAUUGGAGAAUUUAGAAAAGAUUUUCAAUAUCAAGAUUCUCACAAAAAUUACCAAUAAAUUUUUUUACAAAAAUUGAAUGAAUCUAAUGACAAAACCUUUUCAAAAUGUGACACUAGUUUUCUUGAAUACUCAGAAGAUGAGGGAAUGUCCUAAAAUUAUUACUAACAUAUUGGAGUAAUUUUAAGAUAAUUCAUAAUAAUUAAUUACUUGGUAAGAUAUUUUGAGGCUUGGAUAACAUGAAAUCAAACCAAAACCAUUAUUUGAUAGGAAUUGUGAGGAUGCUAUAACCUUCCUCACUCAUAACAUAUUCCUAGACCUAGUCUUGGUUUUAUAGACCAUAAUCUAUAUUUUAGAGAUACCCAAAUCAAGUUUGAGACUUCUCUUUAAAAUAAGACAGAUUCAGUUAUGUGUCCAAUCAUACAUAGCCAAAAAAGAUUGGUGACGACUUUUUAAGUUUAUGUCUAGCAAAAGGUUUACAAAUUUAUACGUUAUGACACUCAUCAUGCUCCUUAUCAUAUCCUUAAGGGUGUGAUUCUACCUUUCAGCCACACCAUUUUGUUCAGGAUUACCAAGCAUAGUAUAUUGGCAACAAUCCCACACUCUUGUAAGUAUUUGGCAAACAAUCCUACAUAUUGUCCAGUUUAACCAUGUCUGCCAUAAUACUCACCACCACGAUCAGACCUAACAACUUUGAUGACUUUCCUUAAUUGUUUUUCUACCUUAGUCUUAAAAAUUUUGACUUCAUCAAAAACAUCAAAAAUUUCACCUAGUAGGUAAAGAUACCUAUAGUGGGAAUAGUCAUAAAUAAAAGUAACAAAAUAUUUAUUACCAGACAAAGUAGAUGUAAGAGGUCUAUUAAUAUCAGUUUGUACAAUUUUUAAAAGGUCAAAAUUACGAAUUGCCUCUUUCUUCUUAGUCUUAGUUAGUUUACCUUUUAUGCAAUCAACAUAAAUGUUUAGCUUUUGAAAAGUAAAGGAUGGUAAAAUACCAUCUUUUAUCAAUCUUUGAACUCUUUCAUAAAAAAUGUGACCCACCCUUUUGUGCCACAACAAGAAAGAGUUUUCUUUAAUUAAAGAACUUUUAGACACUAUCUUUUCAACAUUAUUAUAACUAUAUUCAUUAUUAAAGGCCAAACAUAGUAUAUAUAAUUUGUCAACAAGUUUAAAUUCACCAACAACAUUUGAAUUUAAAACUAAGUCAACUUUUCCAUUUUCAAUGCCAAAGUAGUAACCACGUUUGUCCAAAAUAGAAAUUGAAAUCAAAUUCAUUCUAAAUGAAAGUACAUAAAAAAUAUUUUUCAAAACAAAUCCAAAGCCAUAAUCCAAAUUUAAACCUAUUAUUCUUACAUGACUAACAUCAACUUCAUCAUUGUUUCCAACUUUAAGUUUGGCCUAUUUUUCACUUGGCUGCUGUUUGCUUUUAAACCCCUAUAAAGUAAUAGCAACAUGAAUAGUUGCAUCACUAUCAAGCUACCACGAAUUCGGUUGGGCACUAAAAAAGUAGGAUUGAAAACAAACAAGAGCUAAUGAAUUACUUUCUUGUUUAUUCUUUUUUUCUAACCAAGCUUUAUAUUUAGGGCACUCAAAUUUCAUUUGACCUUUUUUAUUGUAGGAAAAACACUUGAUAUCCUUUUUAAUGCUAGGUUUAGGACCUCUUACCACUUUAGUCUAACCAUUAACCUAUUUUUUGUCAUCCUGAACUUUCUUAUGAGGAUUAGGAACAUAUCUAUCAAGUUUCCUAUAAUUUUUUGGUAAUUGAGUUUGGAGUAGGUAAUAAGAUGGGCACUCUCACUUUUUUUCUUAAGUUUUUCCUCCUUAGAAACAUAUUUUAAUAUGAUAUCAUUAACACUCUAAACUUUAUUCAUAGCAUUAUAGACUAUUUUGAUAUGGGUGAACUUAAUAGAUAAGCAGUUAAAGGCAUGGUGAACAAUGAAUUUGUCAGGGAGGACAAUUUCAUGAGAAGUUAGUUUGGUUUAAAUGUGGACCAUUCUCAUAAUAAAAUCUUUAACACUUUCUACAUUAUCAUAUCUUAUACUCGUAAGCUCACUCACAAGGUCUUCAGCCUCAUACUUAUUGAUUUUUUAUAUCUAUUGUUUAUAGCAUUGUAGAGAUCUCUAGUAAUUUUAGUAGUAUCCAAUUAACUUAAAAGGUGUUCAAAGAUAGAACUUUUAAUGGCAUACAAACACAUGUGAUUUGCCUUUUCCCAUUUGGUAAAAAAUUUCUUAUGUUCAAUAAUACUUUCAUUAGUAAGAUCAAUAGGCUUUGAAAAGCGUAAGGUAAUAUCUAUCUCACUAGCAAAGUUUAAAACUUCAUUCAAUCUCUUAUAAUUAGACCAUGAAGUACUUCGAUAGUAGGUUGAUUGCUAUUGACAGUAAAAGUCACUAUUUAAGAUAAAAUGUAAUAUCAAUCAACAGGUAAUAUCAUAAGUUGUAUAGCAAUAAUUCAUAAUGUUCUAACAAUUAUUGAAAGAUCCAAGUAUAUUAUCACAAACUCUCAUUUAGGCAAAGAAUGUAACAUGCGAUUAGGAACUUUUCACAUAAAUCUAAUACGGGAAUGUUUUAGUUUUUGAAAACCUAUCCUUUUUAGGUAGACAAAUUUUCUAGGUUGGUAUACCUUCAACCAUUAUGCUUUAUGUUCCAAAACAAGUUAUCCUACACAUAAACCCCUUUUGGGCAAGUAAAUGAAUAAGAUAAUUUAGCAACCAUCUUGUAACCUUAGAAUAAUAAAAUAUUCCAUUAACUUCAAUAUGUGAGCCAUUUUGGUAGCCAAGCAUUUAUUAAUUAAAUGAAAAAAAUUUUCAAACUAGAAAAUUUAAUUAAUUGCAUAAAAUUUUUAGUUUGCAUACUUAACCUUAAUGUAUGCAAUGGACCAUUUUAACUGAGAUACUAAAACUAGAUGUAUCUUAUCUUAACAUAUAGAUCCAUAAAUCUAUACCUAAACUUAAUAAAAUGAGUCACCACCAAUCUUUUUUAACUAGGUGUGAUUAGCCACAUAAUAAAUCUAUCAUUUUAAGGAGCUUCUAAGCUUAACUAAGGUCUCUUAAAGAAUAUGUUCUGAUCUGCUAAUCAGAACAUGGUUCAAGAGUUUGGUUACAUAUUGAGAAUGUUAUAACACUCCCAAAUGCCCAUCUAAAGGACGAUGCCACUUUAUUUUAAAUUAUCUUAAGCUCUUAAUUUUAAUGGUCUUAAAUUUGAUAUUGAAAAUAAUUUUUAAGAUUUUACAUUAAUUUGGUAAAAUUCUUAAAAAUACUUCAUCAUCUUAAGAGAAUUUAAGAAUCCCAUUUGUUUUCUUGAAUACGCUCCAUUGUUGGAAAAAGAUUUAAUUAUAUUUUCAUUUUUUGGUUUUUUUUAAUUGAAAAUAUAUCUAAUUCAUCCACCAUUUGGGCUAAAAUUAGAAAUAUCCUCUUAUCUAAAAAUUUCUUAGAUAAUCAUAUAUUUGUGAUUACUAAGAAUUUCAUCAUUGGGAUUUAUUUUUUAUUUUACAAGUUUUAUUUCUAAAUUUUUCACUAUUUGGGCUAAUUUAGAAAGUUUUUUAUUUGAUUUCUAAAUUUUUCACAAUUUGGUUUUAUUUAGAAAUUUUCUUUUUGAUUUCUAAAUUUUUCAGUAUUUGGGUCUAUUUAGAAUUUUUUUUAUUUUUUUUUAAUUUUUGAAAAGAAAAUAAUAUGCAAUUAUUUUUAAAGUUUCAUUUAAAUUCUUCCACCAUUUGGGAUAAAUUUAAAGAAAUCUCUCACUUAGAGAUUUCUUAAGAAAUUUACUAUUUGAAAUUUCUAAGAAUUUCAUCAUUGGAUAAUUGUCAAAUAUUUUUAACAAAAAAAAUUUAUUUGGAAAAGAAUGCAAUUACUUUUAUUGAAAUUUUAUCUAUAUUAUUCUACAAUUUGAGACAAAUUUAGAGAAAUUUCUCACAUAGAGAUUUCAUAGAAAUUUACCAUUCAAAAUUUCUAAGAAUCUCAUCCUUAAGUAAUUAGUAUUUAAUUUCAAAAUUUUAAUUAAUUUUUUUGAUUAAAAAUAAAUAUUAAUUAUUAUUAUUGAAACUUUAUCUAAAUUAUUCCACCAUUUAUGACAAAUUUAGAAAAAAAUUUAUCACCCAAGAAUUUUAUAAAAAUUUACCAUUUGAAGUUUCUAAAAAUUUCAUCAUUGGAUAAUUAUUAUUUAUUUUUAAAAAAUUAUUUUAUUUUGUUUUAUAUAUUUUUUUACUUUUCUUAAAUUUUAAUCAUGUAAAAAUACUUAAUAAAUAAAUAAAUAAAUAAAUAAAAAAUACCAAGAAAAUGGCUCGGCUCGGUUACAGGUAGGAAAAGUAGUUGAAACGGUGUGGCUUAUGGCUCGGCUCAGUUGGAGUCGGGGACGUGGGUUGAAAGUGGGUCGAGCGCUAUGGGUCGAGUCACCCACUAGCAAACACGUAAAUCCUGGAUUUCUUAAAUGCCUAAAAUGACAUUGUUUAAUAGUAGUAUAAAUGACCAAAUUCUUUCUUUUUUCAUCAAAUUUUCUUCUCUUUCUCUCUCAUUUUCUCUUUUCACUCUCUAUCUUUUUAGAACUUAGAUGAACUCUGAUUGAAUAUUUAUCAAAUUUCAAAAAUCUUAUUAGAAUCUGAGUUGAGUCAUAAGAAGUUCAUUGAUUUUUAGAAAACUGACAUCGAAAACUAGGAAUCUCACAAAAGUCAUUGAAAUCUUCAAAGAUUGCCUAAAAAUUCAACUAGAAUCUAAAAAUUUUCCAAAAAAAUUUCCCAAAAAAAAUCUUUUAAACCCAAAAAUCUCUUAAAAAUUUUUAUGCUCUCUCACAGCCUUCGCGUGUGUUUUUUUUUAAUCUCUGUGUAUUUUUUCCUUCUGUAUGGGAAUGUAUUUAUAGAGUUUUGAUAAAAAAACCUUAAUCCAAAAAGGAUUUUAAUUCCAUUUAAAUUUUAACUUUAGAUUUUAAGUCCAACCCAAACCCAAACAAAUAGUUUCAUUUAAACUCAACCACUUAAUUUUAUUUAUUUUUUAUUAUUUAUUAUUUAAUUAAUAGAAACAAGUAGAGCCUCGGAUAUAUUAAGGUGUCUACAUUUAUCUUUUUUUGCACAAUUUUUGUAAAACAAGAAUUGUGUAAAAACAUAAACAACCCAAUCAAGAAUCAUCUUGACAUAUAUAUAUUUUAAACAUACUCAGACUUUUUGAAUAACAUAAAAAUUCUUCUAAACAGAGGCUUCACAACUUUUGAGAAGUAAAUAAGGUUUUUUUAAGCAGAGGCUGAAUGACUUUUGAAAAGAAAAUAAAGCUCCUUUAAGCAGAGACUCAACAACUUUUUGAAAAGUGAAUAAGGCUCUUUUAAGUAGAGGCUCAACGACUUUUGAAAAGUAAAUAAGAUUCUUCUAAACAGAUGCUCAAUGACUUUAGAGAAAUAAAUAAGGCUUCUUUAUGCAGAGGCUUAAUGACUUUUAAAAAAUAAAUAAAGCUCCUCUAAACAGAUACUAAAUGACUUUUGAAAGUAAAUAAAGCUCCUCUAAGCAGAGGCUUAAUGACUUUUGAAAAAUAAAUAAAGCUUUUCUAAGUAGAGACUCAACGACAUUUGAAAAUAUCAUGCCUUCACUGAUUAAUCACUAUGAACGGUAGUCAACGAGUAAACAUAUAGUAAUAACGAUGAAUGGAAAGUGAAAAAUAAAAAAAUGUGUGGUGCAACAAGAGGGCUUUCUCAGAUGGCCACCCAUUCUAAAACUACUAUCACCUAAGCAUGCUUAAUUGCAGAGUUCUAAUGGGAACUAAUGCUUUAGUGUUGGUCUAAUCACAACUAUCAUUUGUUGUACAAAUUAUGUAUCUUACCUUUCUUUUCUUGUAUGCUACUUGAUGUAUCCCAUGCGAUCCCUCGUCCUGUAAUUUUCAUUACACCAAAAAAAGAGUUGAUCAAUUUCUCAAGCCUUCACCGAUUAAUCACUAUGAAUGGCUGUCAAUGAAUAAACAUAUAGUAAUAAUGACGAACAAAAAGCUAAAAAUAAAAAAAAUGUGAGGUGCAACACGAGAACUUCAAAGGAGGUCACUAAUUCUAGUACUGCACUUGCCUAAGCAUGCUUAACUGUAAAGUUCUAAUGGGAUCUAAUGAUUCAGUGCUAGCAUGAUCGCACCCAUCAUUCGUUGCACAAAUUAUGUAUCCUACCCUUCCUUUCUCGUACGCUGCUCAAAUAUCUCAUGUGAGCCCCCGUCCUCAAAAUUUUUGCUACACCAAAAAAAUAAUUUUUUGUGCUUUCACCGAUUAAUCAUUAGAAACGAUAGUCAACGAAUAAACACAUAGUAAUAAUGACAAACGAAAAGUGAAAAUAAAAAAAAGCAAUGUGCAACACAAAGACUUUCCAAUAGGUCACCUAUUUUAAUACUACUCUUGCCCAAGCAUGCUUAACUACGAAGUUUUGAUAGGAUCUGAUGCUUUAUUGUUGAUAUCAAUACACCUGUCAUGUAUUUCACAAAUUAUGUGUCCGAUCCUUUCUUUUUUAUAUGUUGCUCAAUAUAUCCCAUGCGGCCUUUCGUCCUUAAAAUUUUUAUUAUGACAAAAAAAAGGGUUGAUUGAUUUUUUGUGCCUUAACCGAUAAAUCACUAUGAAUAGUAGUCAACAAAUAAACAUAUAAUAAUAACGACAAACGAAAAAUGAAAAAUAAAAAAAUGUGGGGUGCAAUAUAAGGACUUUUCAAAAUGUCACCCAUUUUAGUACAACUUUCAUCGAAGUAUGCUUAACUGAAGAGUUCUAAUAAGAUCUGAUGCUUUAGUGUUGAUAUGAUCACACCCGUCACUUAUUGUGAAAAAUAUGUAUUUGACCUUUUCUUUUCGGUACGCUAUUCAAUAUAUCUCAUUCGAGCCUUCGUCCUCAAAUUUUUCACUAUGUUAAAAAAAAAAGGUUGAUCAAUUUCUUCUGCCUUCAUCGAUUAAUCACUACAAAUAGUAGUCAACGAAUAAACAUAUAGUAAUAACGACGAACGAAAAGUGAAACAUAAAAAAAUGUUGGAUGCAACAUGAAAACUUCACAAGAAGUCUCUUAUCCUAGUACUACUCUUAUCCAAGCAUGUUUAACUACAAAGUUCUGAUGAGAUCCGAUGUUUUAGUGCUCAUAUGAUCACUCUCAUCAUUCGUUCUACAAAUUAUGUAUCCUACCCUCCUUUCUCGUAUGCGGCUUGAUAUAUCUCAUGCAAGCUCCUGUCCCUAAAAUUUUUGCUAUGCCAAAAAAGGGGUUGAUCAAUUUCUAAUGCCUUCACUGAUUAAUCACUACGAACAGUAGUUAAUGAAUAAACAUAUAGUAAUAACGAUGAACAAAAAGCCAAAAAUAAAAAAUUGUACGGUGCAACAUGAGAACUUCCUUAGAAAUCACCUACCCUAGCACUAAUCUCAUUUAAGCACGCUUAACUACAAAGUUUUGAUGAGAUUUAAUGCUUUAUUACUGGUAUGAUAGUACUUGCCACUCGUUGCAUAAAUUAUGUAUCUGACCCUUCAUUUCUCGUACACUACUCGAUAUAUCCCACGUAGGCCCCCAUCCCUGAAAUUUUUACUAUGCCAAAAAAGGGGUUGAUCGAUUUCUCAAGCCUUCAUUGAUUAAUCACUAUGAAUGGUAGUCAAGAAAUAAACAUAUAGUAAUAAUGACGAAUGAAAAGUAAAAAGUAAAAAAAUUUGAGGUGCAAUAUGAUGACUUCAUAAGAGGUCAACCAUCUUAGUAUUACCUAACGCUCAAGCACACUUAACUGCUGAAUUUUGACAAGAUCCAAUGUUUUAGAGUUGGUAUGAUCCCACCCAUCACUUAUUGCGUAAAUUAUAUAUCCAACCAUUCCUUUCCCAUGUUGCUUGAUAUAUCCCACACAGGCCCCUAUCCUUAGAAUUUUUGCUACAAAAAAAAAAAAUUGAUCGAUUUUUCAUGCCUUUACUGAUUAAUCACUACGAACGAUAGUCAACGAAUAAACAUAUAAUAAUAAUGAUGAAUAAAAAGUAAAAAUUAAAAAAAUUUGGGGUGCAACAUGAAGACUUCCUAAGAGAUCACCUAACCUAAUACUACCUUCACCCAAGCGCGCUUAACUGUGAAGUUCUAAUGGGAUUUGGUGCUUUAGUGCUAUUUUGAUCGCACCCAUUAUUUGUUGCACAAAUUAUGUAUCUGACACUUUCUUUCCUAUAUACUGCUAGAUAUAUCCCACGCGGGCCUUAGUCUUCAAAAUUUUUACUAUGCCAAAAAAAAGGUUGAUCGAUUUCUCAUGCCUUCACCGAUUAAUCACUACCAACGGUAGUCAACGAAUAAACAUAUAAUAAUAAUUAUGAACAAAAAGUGAAAAAAAUGUGGGGUGCAAUGUGAGAACUUUCAAGGAGGUCACCCAUCCUAGUACUACUCUUGCCUAAGCAAGCUUAACUGUGAAGUUUUGAUAGAAUCCAGUGCUUUACUACUAGUAUGAUCACACCUCUUAUUUGUUACAAAAAUUGUGUAUCCUACCUUUCCUUUCCCGUACGCUGCAUAAUAUACCCCAUACUGGCCUUUAUCAUUGGAAUUUUUGCUAUGCCAAAAAUAAGUUGAUCAAUUUCUCAUGCUUUUACUGAUUAAUCACUAUGAAUAAUAGUCAACAAAUAAACAUAUAAUAAUAAAGACGAAUGAAAAGUGAAAAAUAAAAAAAAUGAGGUGGAAAGGUCACACAUUCUAGUACUAUUCUCGCCCAAGCACACUUAACUGUGAAGUUCUGAUGGGAUCUGAUGCUUUAAUGCUGGUAUGGUCACACCUAUCACACGUUGCACAAAUUAUGUAUCCACCAUUUUUUUUCCUAUAUGCUGCUUGAUAUAUCCAAUAUGAGUGUUCAUCCUUAAAAUUUAUGUUACAAAAAAAAAAAAAAAGGUUAAUCGAUUUCUCAUGCCUUCACUUAUUAAUUGCUAUGAACGGUAGUCAAUGAAUAAACAUAUAGUAAUAAUGACAAACAAAAAGCGAAAAAUAAAAAAAUGUGAGGUGCAACAUGAAGACUUCUCAGAAGGUUACCCAUCCUAGUACUACUUUCGUCCAGCUCGUUUAAUUACAGAGUUCUGAUGAGAUUCGAUGCUUUAAUGUUGAUAUGAUCACAAUCAUCAUUCAUUGCGUAAAUUAUGUAUAUGACCAUUCCUUUCUCGUAUGUUGCUCGAUAUAUCCCACGUGAGCCUUCAUCCUUAAAACUUUUGCUACGUAAAAAAAAAAAGGGUUGAUCGAUUUCUCGUGCCUUCACUUAUUAAUCACUAUGAAUGGUAGUCAACAAAUAAAAAUAAAGUAAUAACGAUGAACGAAAAGUGAAAAAUAAAAAAUUUUGGGUACAACACAAGGAUUUCCUAAAAGAUCACUAAUCUUAGUACUAAUCUCACCCAAGAAUGCUUAACUGUAGAGUUCUGAUGAGAUCUGAUGCUUUAGUGCUGGUAUGAUUGCACCUAUCAUUUGUUGCAUAAAUUUUGUAUUCUACCCUUUUUUUUCUUUACGCGGCUCAAUAUAUCCUACGCCCAAGUUCUAUCUUUGAAAUUUUUACUAUGCCAAAAAAAGGAUUGAUUGAUUUCUCGUGGCUUCACCAAUUAAUCACUAUGAACAGUAGUCAACGAAUAAACAUAUAGAAAUAACGAUUAACAAAAAAUAAAAAAUAAAAAAAUAUGGAGUGCAACACGAGGACUUUUUAAAUGGUUACCCAUCAUAGUACUAAUCUCGUCCAAAUACGCUUAACUAUGAAAUUUUGAUGGGAUCUGAUGCUUUAGUGUUAGUAUGAUCACAUCUAUCACUUGUUGCGUAAAUUAUGUAACUGACUCUUUCUUCUCCAUACAUUGCUCAAUAUAUCCCGUACGGGUCCCUAUUCUUGAAAUUUUUACUACACCAAAAAAAUAUGUUGAUCGAUUUCUCAUGCCUUCAUCGAUUAAUCACUACGAACGGUAGUCAACGAACAAACAUAUUGUAAUAACGAUGAACAAAAAGUGAAAAAUAAAAAAAAAUGGUGUGCAACAUGAGAACUUCUUAAAAGAUCACCCAUCCUAGUACUACUAUCAUCUAAGUAUGUUUAAUUGUAAAGUUUUGAUAGUAUCCAAUGCCUUAAUGCUGGUAUGCUCACAUCCGUUAUUUAUUGCAUAAAUUAUGUCUCCUACCCUUUUUUUCCCCGUACGAUACUUAAUAUAUCCCAUGUGGGCCCCUGUCUUUGGAAUUUUCAUUACUAAAAAAAAAAAGGUUGAUCAAGUUAUCGUACUUUCACCGCUUAAUCCUUAUGAACGACAGUCAAUGAAUAAACAUAUAGCAAUAAUGACGAGCGAGAAGCGAAAAAUAAAAAAAAUGUUGAGUGCAACAUGAUAACUUCCCAAAAGGUCACCAUUUAAUACUACCUUCGCCCAAGCACACUUAAUUACAAAGUUCUGAUAAAAUUCGAUGCUUUAAUGUUGGUAUAAUCACACCCAUAACUUGUUGUGCAAAUUAUGUAUCUAAACCUUUCUUUCCCAAAUCUUGCUUGAUAUAUCUCACACGAGCUCGCAUCUUUGAAAUUUUCUCUACGUAAAAAAAAAAUGUUCAUCAAUUUCUCAUACCUUCACCAUUUAAUCACUACGAAUGGUAGUCAAUAAAUAAACAUAUAGUAAUAACAACGAACAAAAAGUGAAACAUAAAAAAAAGUAGGGCGCAACACGAGGACUUCCCAGGAGGUCACCCAUCCUAGUACUACUCUCGCCCAAGCACGCUUAACUGCGGAGUUCUGAUGGGAUCCGGUGCUUUAGUGCUGGUAUGAUCGCACCCGUCACUUCUUGCGCAAAUUAUGUAUCCGACCCUUCCUUUCCUGUAUGCUACUCAAUAUAUCCCAUAUGGGCCAUCAUCCCUUAAAUUUUCGCUAUGCUAAAAAAAAGGUUGAUCGACUUCGUCUUUGGAAUUUUUGCUAUGCUAAAAAAAAGUUGACCAAUUUCUCAUGCAUUCAACGAUUAAUCACUACGAACAGUAGUUAAUGAAUAAACAUAUAGUAAUAACGAUGAAUGAAAAAUGCAAAAUAAAAAAAUCUAGGGUGUAACAUGAAGACUUCUUAAAAGGUCACCCAUCCUAAUACUACUCUCGUCCAAACACGAUUAAUUAUGGAGUUCUGAUGGGAUCCAAUGCUUUAGUGCUUAUAUGACCGCACCCAACACUUAUUCCGCUAAUUAUGUAUCUAACUAUUCCUUUCUUGUAUGCUGCUCGAUAUAUCACAUGUGAGCCUCCAUCCCUGAAAUUUUCGCUAUGACAAAAAAAUGCUUGAUCAAUUCUCAUGCCUUCACCAAUUAAUUACUACAAAUGGUAAUUAACAAAUAAACAUAUAGUAAUAACAAUGAACGAAAAGCAAAAAAUAAAAAAAAUGUGGGGUGCAACAGGAGAACUUCCCAAAAAGUUAUCCAUCCUAAUAUUAUUUUUGUCCAAGCAUGCUUAACUACGAAAUUUUAAUAGGAUCCAGUGUUUUAAUGCUGGUAUGAUUGCACCCAUCUUUCAUUGCAUAAAUUAUGUAUUAGAUCUUUCUUUUCUUGUAUGUUGCUCGAUCUAUCCCAUACGGGCCAUCAUCCCCAGAAUUUUCGUUACGUCAAAAAAAAAGUUGAUCAAAUUUUCGUGCCUUCACCGAUUAAUUACUACAACCUAUAGUUAACGAAUAAACAUAUACUAAUAACGAUGAACGAAGCGAAAAAUAAAAAAAAAUGUGGGGUGCAACACAAAGACUUUCAAGAAAGUCACCCAUCUUAAUACUACUUUCGUCCAAGCAUGCUUAACUACAAAGUUUUAAUGGGAUCUGGUGCUUUAGUGCUGGUAUGAUUACACCCAUCAUUUGUUGAGCAAAUUAUGUAUCCUACCCUUUUUUUACCACACACUGCUCAAUAUAUCCCAUACAAGUCUCUAUCUCCGAAAUUUUUGCUAUGCCAAAAAAAGUUUUGAUUAAUUUUUUGUGCUUUCAUCGAGUAAUCACUAUGAAUGGUAGUCAACGAAUAAACAUAUAGUAAUAACAGUGAACGAGAAGCAAAAAAUAAAAAAAUGUGAGGUGCAACACAAGGACUUCCUAAGAGGUCACCAUUCCUAAUACUACUCUUAUCUAAGCACGUUAACGACGGAGUUCUAAUAAGAUCUGAUGCUUUAAUGUUGGUCUAAUCACACAUGUCACUUGUUGCACAAAUUAUGUAUUCGACCCUUGCUUUCUCAUAUGUUGCUUGAUAUAUCCCACACGGGUUCCCAUCCUCGAAAUUUCUGCUACCCAAAAAAAAGUUGAUCAAUUUUUCAUGCCUUCAUCGAUUAAUCAUUGUGAAUGGAGUCAACGAAUAAACAUAUAGUAAUAAUGAUGAACGAAAAGCAAAAAAUAAAAAAAAAUGUGAAGUGCAACACAAGAACUUCCUAAUAAGUCACUCAUCGUAAUACUACUCUCACUUAAGCACAUUUAACUAUGAAGUUUUGAUGAAAUCUGAUGCUUUAGUGCUGGUAUGAUGACCCCUGUCAUAUGUUGUACAAAUUAUAUAUCCUACCCUUCCCUUUUUGUAAACUGCUCAAUAUAUCCUACGCAAGCUCCCGUCUCCGAAAUUUUUACAAUGCCAAAAAAAGGUUGAUCAAUUUCUCAUGCCUUCACCAAUUAAUCACUACGAAUAGUAGUCAACGAAUAAAUAUAUAGUAAUAACGACGAACAAAAAAUGAAAAAUAAAAAAAUUGAGGGUGCAACAUGAUGACUUCACAAGAGAUCACCUAUCCUAGUACUACCUUCGUCCAAGCAUGUUCAAUUGUAAAGUUUUGAUGGGAUCCGGUGCUUUCGGUGCUUUAAUACUGAUAUGAUUGUACCCAUCACUUGUUGCUCAAAUUAUGUAUCCAAUCCUUCCUUUCCUAUAUAUUGCUCGAUAUAUCCCACGUAGGCCCUUGUCCCUAGAAUUUUUACUACACCUAAAAAAGGUUGAUCAAUUUCUCAUGCCUUCAUGGAUUAAUCAUUAUGAAUAGUAGUCAAUGAGUAAACAUAUAGUAAUAAUGAUGAACAGAAAGCGAAAAAUAAAAAAAAAUUAAAGUGCAACACUAGGACUUCCUAAGAGGUUAUCCAUCCUAAUACUACUCUCAUGUGCUCUUGCCCAAACACGUUUAACUGCGAAGUUCUGAUAAGAUCCAAUGUUUUAGUGCUAGUAUGAUCUCACCCAUCAUUUGUUGUGCAAAUUAUUCUAGUAUGAUCUCACCCAUCAAGAGUAUGAUCUCACCUAUCAAGAGUAUUUGUAUUUUUAUUUAUUACUACAAUUAUUAUUCUUAGAAAUCCUCAAACAAUAUUAAUAGACAUAAAAAAAACUAUUUCAAUAACCAUUUUUGCCAAUUUAAAUCAUUAUAGUUGGUGAUGCACCAAAUAAAACAUAUAUAAUACGAGAAAUAGACAAAUGACAUACAUACAUAGUGAGCAAAUAAGAACAAGGCACAUGUAAAGAAAAGAUGGAACAAUAAAUUACAAAAAUGAAUAAACAAAUAUUAAAAUAAAGAAGAGAAUAAACGGGUUAAAAAGACAUAUAAGCGCAAAAUGAAAUAUGCAAGAAGUGUAAACAAAUUUAAAAUAAAAAUCAAACAAAUCUUAUACCUUGCAAAAGUGAAGUCCAUUUACUAAUUUGUUUGGGAUAAUGACAAAAAGGCCCUUUUAUUUUCAAAAUUUCCAGGCAGCAUCCUCAACUAUCAUUUUUAAGACUACAUACCAAAACUUUAAGCCCUUACACUAAACAGGAUCAAUAAACCAAGUUUCAUCAAUCACAAUAUCUAGAGUUCGAGAAUUUUCAUUGUAUGCGAUUGCAGUUACAGAAAAUGUUAAGGCCACAUGUUUGACGGAGGAAGUCUUAGCACAAUGUUCCCUUCAACAACAAAAUCAUAAGAACCUUCUUCCAGUAAGUUUGCUUUAAACAACUUUAGCCUUUUUUGCUAGACUUUUUAUUUUUGCUUCUUUGCUGCUCAUUUUUUUUACUGCCUUCUCUUUUUUUUGCUUUUGCUAUUUUUUUACUUGUUUUUGUUUGGUGUUUACUGUCACCGUUCUCACUUCUUACUUCUAAUUUUUUUUCCUUUUCUACUAUUCACCUUUUUUUCUACUCUUUUUGUUGUUGUAUUCUGCCUAUUACUGGCCUCUCUUUUUUUUUCCUUUUUCCUUUUUCUUUUUCUAUUGCUAAUUUUUUUCACCUCCAUUCAUAAAAGCCUCCAAUCCUUUCUUUUUAUGCCUAGUUUUUUUGGAUACCUCUUUUGUUUUGUUAUUUUUUUCUACUUUACGUCUUGCUCGCUUUUCUCUUCUUUUUUUUUUUUGGAUUUUAUUCUUCUUCUCAAAGCCUUUCCCACAUUUUUCUUCUUCUGUUCAAUUUUUUUUUGUUGCCCAGUGUUUUUUGGUAUCUUUUACAAUUUCUAUUUCUACCUAUUUUCACGUUCUAGCUGUCAGUUUUUUUUUGUUUUUUUGUUUUGCACUACUAUUUCCUCUUUUUACUCUUUUCUGGUUUACUUUGGCAGCCCAAUCUUUUUUCAAUGUUUACUUUCAUUUUUUUUUAGUUGCUCAAUUUUUUUCUGUUCUACCUCCUACUGGUUCUUAUUUGCUUUUUUUUUUUAAGUUUUUUUUCUACUCAACCCUUCCACGAACCCUGGCUUAUCUUCAAUUUUCAUGUUUCUUGUUUCAAUAAUUAGCAGCCUCCCACUUUUGGCUUUUAGCUUUUUUUUUCUUCCUCGCACAUUAUCCAAGCCGUUUCUUCUUAUUUUUCUUUUUUAUGUAUGUAACAAAUGUAAAGGCUUUAAGCCUAAUGCAAACUAAUAAAUGGUUUGACUAUUCUUUUUUUCUUUUUUUACAUGAAAAAAGUUCCCAUUUGGAGUCACUUUGGCCUUUAUUUUUUUUUACAUAUUUGUUUCAUUUUAUUUCAUUUGGACUCAUUUAUUUUAUGCCAAAAUUUUUUUUAUAUAUUUUAUAUUUAAUAAUUAAUUUAAUAAUUUUUUAUAUUUUAUAUUUUAUAUUUUAUUUAUUUAAAAUUUUCAUUUAAUAACAUCAAUAUAUCAUUGAUGAACUUUUAAGAAUAAACAUUUCUCAGACCUUUUAUCAUUCUUGACCUUUUAUCAUUCUUUGGAAUAUCAUUCGAACCAAUACAAUGAUCUUCACCAUAUGAGAUCCACGUUUGACCUCGUAUCAAAGCACUUAAAAAUGAACUAUUAAUUAUUCCAAAAAAUUAAUAAUCAAAAACCAAUUAUAGAAACAAAUCCAAAUUAAAAAAAUAAAAUAUCUUUAAAAAAAUUAAAUAUCUACAUAUUACUUAUUAGAUAUGCUAGUAUGAGAGCCGCAUUUUGUUGCUGAUUUAAAAAAAUUUUUACUAUUACUAUUAUUAUUUGAAAAUAGAUAAAUAUCAAUUAAAUUUAAUUAAAAUUGAUAUUUUGUAAAAUAAUAUAUCAAAAUCCUACAAAUAAAAAUAACAAAUAUAGUAAUUAUAAUGACUUUGAAUUAAAAUUAUUUUAAUACAAAAAUUUCAAACAAGAGACUUAAAUAAUUAUAAAAUUAAAUAAAAUUAACCCAUCAAAUAAAAAUGUAUAAUUAAUAAUUAUAAGAAAAAUAAAACCCAUGCCAAACCAAAGAGUCCAAUAUGAUGCAAGUCAUAAAAAAGUUCAAGAUAAAUACUUUUAAAAAUGGUUGAAAUUUCAUCAUUGUCCAAAGAUGUUUUUGUUGCUGCUAAGGACAAACUUUAGCCUUCCGGAGCCGAGAUGCUCGCUUUCGAUGCCCGCGGCCUUGCUUGUGUUGCUCCCACUCGUGUGCUCCUCUAAGUACCCUAUCUCCGCAGGCCUGCUGGUAAAAAAAUUAUAAGCUAAAAAUUUUCAAAACCAGAACCUUCAGCUUAACAGCAAGUAAAUUGUAACACACAAAGGUAAAUGAAAAUUAUCAGACUGGUUUCGUUUCAGCCAUGGCUGACCUUGCAUAUGUAUUGAGUCCACAAGUCCCUUUGGACUGUGUCCAUUAUAGUUUUAUUUUCCCCAUUCAAAGCACACUCUGUCCCAUCAUCCCCGUUGAGGAAAGAUUUAAUGAUUUUCACAGCAGGUACAACCACUUGCAUUGCCCAACACUCAUCAGAUUUGCCUGGAAUAUAGAAAUGAUCAAUCAAAUUGAUGAUUCACCCAAGAACAGGGAAGAUGAGUUUUUCAAUUGAAAAAUAAAUAGGAAUGUAAAGGACUGCAGGAGUGUACUCGAUAUAGAUUCCGUUGCGUCAACAUAAUUAAUAUUCCAUCCAAGCAAUGUCUGAAGUUGAUUGAGCCUCCUUUUCUGCAAAACAACAUUUUGCAUGCUAAUAAAUUCCACAAAUUGGCUUAUAGCCACCAAACCGCCAUAUAGCUUCCAUUUUAAUAGAUUCAGAGUGUGGUCUUAAAUUGAGUGCCAGAAACAACUCAAUUUCAGAACAGGUCAAAAUUAAUACUUAGUGGAACUAUUUAUCUGCAAAAAUAUUCUUAAAGUCACCAAUAUCGAAUCUGUCAUAUUGAAAGUUAUAUAGAAUCAGAUUAGUUGAAUGCCAAUUGGCAAAUAAUGUUCAGUAAUUUAUACUUAUCCACGGUCAGAAGCAUCUGUAGAAGGAAGAGGCAGAAGAAAGCAAAGAAAAGACCAAAAUUAACAAAAUCCUAAAACAAAUUUGAAAACUUUUCUGAAAAUGGGUAUCUCAGGGAUAAAAAUUGUUAGUUUUAUGAACGUAUUUGAAUUGCCAGCAGCACUGAAAGCUUUCCAACAGUAAUUCAGGUCUACCAAAAUCAUCAACAAUGUGACAAGAUAGACUUACCUGACGACGAAUAAGUCUCCGGGUGUUUGCUUUUACUUUGUCAAUGGCUUCUUCUAACAUAAUUUUUUGUAGGUUAUCACUAGAGGAAUUUAGUAUUCCCCUUAUAUUUUCUUUUAACAAUUUAUCAUCCAUCCUCGUUGACCACUUUAAGGUAUUCCAACCAGAAAAAUCACUUGUCUCAUCAUCCCUGCUGUCAGAAAAGUAAGCUCCAAGAAAAUUCUCAAAUUCUCGAACACCAAUGGCCUGUCGCAGACCUAGAGUAUAAUUUGCAUUUGGAUUGUAAAUGUCAUAAACUUCAUCAAGCAACCCAGCAUCUAUCAUGCAGUCUACCCUGUGUUCCACAUAUUGAUCCAGCACAGGAGUGGCAGCAUCGACACAUAUAAAACAACAACUGUAUCUAGAAUUAUCAACUCGGCCCCAGUUCUGCCCUGCCACAUGCAGAAUUUAUCAAAAUUGAAAAGCAAGUAGAUCAGCUCAGUGUCAUCUCCCCCUCAAGAAAUGUUAGUUUAGUCAUAAUGAUUAUUAUUUCUGCUCAGUCUUUCUAAAUCAAAACAGCAUUAAAUGUCUUAUAAAAGAAUUUAAAAAACAAAGAAGACAAAGUUAAACUUCAUGAUGGUACACAAGAUCAAGACCCAUGAACAUGAGUUAUGGAUCACAAACCUCUGCAGCCUUUCCCUGAUAAACUUUGCUGGGAAGAACACCAGAACGAGCAUAUAGACUAAGGUAUUGUUUAAUCUGCGAAAUUGAACCAAUGUCAGGAACGAAUAUACGGUACAUCUUAGUUAGAUAAGUAACUCUACAACCAAGUCUCAAGCACAUCAUAGAAACCCUUGAAACCUUUUGCAGAAGAAAUAACCAUUUUAGUUCCAUUAACAGAACAAUUUUUAACACUUGUGCUUUGUAUAGCUGACUAAGUUGACCUUAAUUUCAAGUUUGUCUAAUAAGCUUCAUAGUUUAGAACUCUCAAGCUAUUGGUUGCAUCUAAGUAGAUGAGUUAAACUGAAAGAAGUAAGAAACUGAGCUUUCUACCAAUAACUGCUCUGGAAAAAAAACUAACAAUUCCAAGAAGCCAAAAUGUAAUUCAUCAUCUACUUGUGCUUUUACACUUAGCUCAAUUUGAAUUUUCAUUAUAAAUUGAUUUUGGUAAGAUACACAGCAAUAUUUGGUAGGCAUUAGUAGCAAAAACAUAAUAUAACAAAACCCAGCACCAUAACAAGAUAAGCAUAUGAUAAAUGCAGACUUUCUAUGCAUAUCGAUAAGUAAAGAAUACAUGAAAAAUAGGUCCCUACUUUUCUUUGAUUAUUUGGAUGAAUUCUGUUUGCUGCAACUGGAUCAAGUUCUUUCAGAAGAUCAUAGCUAUAAUUGCAACUGUCUCCCUGGAAAUCAGCCUUAUGAUCGGUCUGCUGAUUUCCUGUUACAAUUUAAACAAUAUCAAUAGUUUAGUAAUUUAGAAUGAUUCAAAGCAAGAGGUUCCUACAUACCAGGAAGGGCGCUUGAGUAUAUUUCAUCCAUAUCUUCUGUUGAAUCAUCAAGAAGGAAUGAACUCACCAGAGCCUACAUACAAGGACUAAACUAUAAAUUUGACAAUGAGAGAAGAACAAAAGCUAAUUUGCUUGUACUCUAAAUAAAUAGGAAGAGACAAAAUUUAAAAAAAAAAAAGAAAAGAAAGAAGAAGCACAAAUAGAGAGACAGACACAAUGGGAGACGUGAUUCCCCCUGGAACUGGACAUAAUUCGCUAUGUUCGAGCAUUAGGCAAGAUAUUAUGGUAGAAAAUGUUUGCAUUGCCCGGAAGAACAUUGUUGACCAUCAAAUUUGCUAGAGGAAAGAACAAAAUAAUCUAAAGCCCCAGCGCAAAGUGAACAAAAAGUACAAGCAAAACAUUUUUUCGUUAAAGAAAUAUUUAGUUCAUAGCAUAUUAUUAGUCAUAAGGAUUAAAACCACCUUCAUACACAAGAAGGCUUAAACCAUGCCAGUGUUAUAAACUCCAUCUGAUUUUACUAAAGAUGAAUAAUCACAUAAGUAACAAUUGCUUACUUGAAUAUAGUAAUUGGUGCCUCCAACAAUGACUGGCAAACAGUUGCGAGAUAAUAUGUCACUAAUGAUCUGAAAGUACAAUAGCACGAAUUAAAUAGAGAUUAAAUGAUAGUGAACAAUAACAUAAAAAAGUAUUUAGCAUGAAUAAUGGCCAGACAACUAAAAAAGAGAGUUAUGUAACGUGACAAUAGACAUGCAUUUUUUAAGCUGAAACUAUAAGUUAUGGUCAAGAAACAUGAAAUAUGAAUAUUGAACUAGAUGCUUCUUGACCUCCAUACACUCACUGUGGCAAAAAGUGCACGAAUAGAGGGAAAGCAUGUCCAUAAAUACUUAUUCCAAAAUGUUCUCCAAAAUCAAGCAUAGAAGAAGAUCUAAAAUAAAUUGGCCAGGAAAAAAUUAAGAUAGUAGGGGAAAAAAAAUGGAAACGAGUGGCAACGGUAAUCUGAAUUAACAGAAAAUUUGUCUAGAAUUUUGUCAACCUUAAGUCUCAUGGUGUAUUAUAUUCCAUAUAAAAAAGGCUCUAGGACACUUAGGCUCCCAUAUGGAUGUUUCUUUUCCUACUUGCAUGUUGCUUCCAGAAUCACAAAGAAAAAUAAAUUUUCAUUGAAUACAAAAGCAAACAUAUUUUUUAAGAAUUAAAAAUUAAAAAUUAAAAUUGUUUAAAUAAGAAAAUGCAUGGAUUCCCUUAUAUAUAAUUGAGUUAGAAAAUGCGUUGCAAUAGUCGUUCAUUGAUUAUUACUCAAUUAGGAUUUUCCUUUCAACCAUUUAUUUUUACUUCACUACAACUUUUGAGCAAACAAAAAGCUAAGUAACAAAAGCCACAAGAUAUAAAACCUUGGAAAAACCACAAACAUGUAAGCUGAAAAGAACAGGCAUAAUGAAAAAUAAAAAGCAACAUGAACUCACAGGAAUUGCAGAAUCCCUAAACUUCUUGGCAGUGAAUUCCACACUUGAGCCAAUAGCACCCAAAAGAUGAUGGGGCACUCCUACACAAAAUUAAUAAACUAUUAAGAAAAAAUCUAAAGAAAUUUCCUCCCAAAAAAUUUUUUUUAAAAAAAAGAGAAACAAAUAAAAAGCCGAACCUUUUUGUUCAUGGAGAGGAACUUUGUUGGUAAGGACAUCAAGACCUUGAUAGACUUGCAUGGAAUCAGCAUUGAUGAUUUCAAUAGGAAAAUGGGUCGCCAAAUCAAUAGCUAAACGUGAUUUUCCUGACCCAGUUGGACCCAUUAUUACCACCACCUUCGGCUUCUCUUCUUCCCUUUUGGGUUCUCCUCCAUUGUUUAGGUUUAGGGUUCUAGCAGACAAUUCAGUGCUUGUUUCCAUCUCUCUCCUCGGUAUCCCUCUCUCUGUUUGUCUCUAAAUCCUCGCAAUUGCUGAGGUUGGAUAAGAAGCUAGCUGUUUGGUGGGCCUGUUGUUUAGGGGCAGGGUCACAAACAGGCCAACGCAAAGGAAUUCAAAAAUGGGUUUGGGAUGACGUUAAGUCAAACAUCAGCUUUGUUCAGUUCCUAAGCCCAUAAACUACAGGCAAAUGCAAACAAGGCUAUGAAGCCCGUCAGUAAACACUUAAUUAUUAAUAAUGGCUAUGAUAUUUAUGCCUCCUAGGAUUCGCAUAAAUUCUUAAUCAUUCAUGUUCUUCGUCCAUUCUACAGUAUCAUCGUAGAAAUUCCGUAUUAGGUUGUAAUCUCAAAGUUACUUGACUUCAAAAUGAGCGUAGGAUAUGGAUACAUGUUAGCCAUGCAUUCAUAUAAAUAAAUAUAUAUUUUAAUUUUUUAUAUUUAAAAAAUCAAAAUUUCAUAUGCAUGUUUUAUUAAGAUACAAAUAUACUAUAAAAAAUCUUUUUAAUAUUGAUGAAUUUUUAUCGAUAGAAUUUUUUCAUUUAUAAUUAUUGACAGACUUCUGAUAAUUUACCAACAGAGAACUAAAAAAAAAAUUAAAAUUUUUUUAUUGAUAGAAUUAUUGAUGAAAAAUAAUUUGUCGGUACUUCGUAAGUAAAGUCGGCACAGCAAAAUGAGAAUUUGGCGCAGGAUUUACAAACGAAAAAAAAUCUGUCACUAAAAUAUUCACCGACAGAUAAUUUUCUGUACGUAAAGAAAUUUCGAAAAAAAAAAUAAAAAAAUUGGAAGUAAAAUGAGAGGAAAAAAUUUUUAAUUACCAAUGAAUUCCGUUGAUAAUUUGUUGUUAAAAGUCAAAAUUACUUUGAAUUAACGACGGAAAUUCCAUUGGUAAUCCAUUGUUAAAAGUCAAUUAAAUGUAAAAAUCCCCUUCCCUGAUUGAAAUUCCUAAUUCAUCAGUUUCUCUGUCCUUUUCUCUCUCCACUCCUCUCAUAUCUCCCUUCCUCUCCUUUCUCUGUUCCUCGUCGCCGACCCAUGAAGAGCCCUUGAGCCCGUGACCGCUCGCUCGUGAACCCACCUUAGCUUUUGUUAGGUUGGUGAUGAAAUUUUGGGAAGCUUGUUUUUUAAGUUCUAACAGUAACAUGUAGGAAUAUUUAGCUCACUAGUGACGUCUGCAUUUCUUGGAAUAUAUACAUGAAAUAAUUGAAUUUAUCUUUGUUUGAAUUUUUGCUCCCUGUUUUAAUGGUAAGUAAUCUUCUUUCUCACUGUUUCUUUUGCAGUGUUGCUAGUUAUUUGUAACACUAAUAACCCAAGUAGAGGGGGUUUUGGACGUGGUUGCUAGCAGAAUGAUAGAGGUGCAGGCAUCCUUGGUUGUCUGGUAUCCUCUAUGGCAAGGUUUUAGGUACGGCUCCAAAUUUGCUAACAGACAUUGUGAUAAACGUUUUGUUUUUGAGCUAAAGCUUUUAAAAAGUUAAAAUUAUCUAGAAAAUGUAUUGCUUUUCUGGAUGUGAGUAAAUUAUUUUUCCUUUUUUUUUAAUGAUUCUUAAAUAUUUCAGAGUUGAUAUACUGAAGUAAUGUGAAGUAUUAUCCCAAGUCUUUCUGUACUUGUUUUUGUGUCUUUAUUGCUAAAUGUGCUAAUUAAAUUUAACAGCCAUGUGAACUUGCUUGCCAUAGCUGUGUGGAACGUGGAGAGGUCUACUUUGAUGAUCGCAGCUUGGUAAUCUUUCUAGAGUUUUAUAUAGUUGUUUAUUCAGUAGGUUUGCUUAUAUAGGAUUUCUUUUGUCCUCCUCAUCAUUAGCUCAUUUUGCAUAUAUUUCUUUUAUUCACAUUAUUAGAGGCAUUUUAAGCGUCUUAUUACUGAAGAUAUUGAAGCUGAUCUCAAUCAAGGUUUUGAUACUUUCGUCGAGAAAAAAAAAAGGUAUGCUUUAUUUAUUGAAAAUUUGAAAUGUAAUAAUGUUGAGAUUGUACUGUGUUGCGGUGUAUACGUUAUAUUUAUGCAUAUGUUUGAGAUUUGUACAUGAGGUCUAAUAAAUGCAGCCAACUGUAUGAUUUUAUUUUUUUUUGAACUAGAAUUAGGCUCUAGGGGUUUUGGUAACCUCCUAGAUUGCAUAAGAAACAAAAAUAUCCCUCUUCAAAACAUUCAUUUUAUGGUAUGAAAAAUGUUAUUAAUUUAGCUUCGAAUUCAUAAUUCAUUACUUCAAUUAAGGAUAUAAUCUAACAAUAUUCCCCACUCCUUUGCAGACUUUUUGUAACAAUCUUAAUAAGGUAAUUACUAAUGUCCUCUCCUCUGUUGUUAUUGCAUGACCGUAAAUGAUAAAAGGGUAGAAAAUUUAUAUUCAUCAGUCUUUUAACUGGUAUAUGAGCAUUCUCAGUGCCACUGGUCUUUUUCAUCUCAUGAGUGAGUGCAUUAAUGUGAGUUUUCAUAUAUGAAUAUGGAUGAUAAACUACUUUUUAUGGUAUUUCAUUGGAUGCUUUCUUGUUUUCAUACAGAUAUUGACUACAGCUUAUAUUAGAAAUAAGCCUUGGGAAAUGGGAGUUCACAAAUGGAAUGUUGUCUAUCUCGAUGUGCAUAAACCGCCUAAGAGGCCAUGGAGUGAGUUGGAUUGUCGAAGGUAUUACACUUUUUGUAACAUCCCCCUUCUUUUUUCUUUUUUUUUUUCAUUUUCCUUUGGGUGGGAAACAUUUGAUUGCUUAAAUUCUUAACCAUAUCAAAGGCUUUGAGGUGGUGUACAGCCAAGCUUAUGUCUUGUUCUUUUGGGCCAAAUGAAAAUGAACAUAAUCGAUGAUGAAUAAAAAUAAACUUGACUUAAUUUUAAUUUUUUAGGUCGAGAUGUUUAUAUAAAUUUAUUAGGAUUUGGUAAAUUUUUAUUUAAUAUAUUAUUUUUAUCAAAUUUAAGUAGGGUGCUUUUAGUCAUAACACUUUCGCUUUCAAUGUAUCUUAUCUUUGAACGCCUCUCUUCAUACAAAAAUCCUGAGGUGAGCUUUAUUUUGUUAGAGAUUUUAGGCCCUUUGUUUUUUUUUUUUUUUUCUUGACUUCUCUUUGUGUUUUUGGACUGGCAAGAGCAAAAGUUUUUGAUCGAAGUUAUUCUUAUAAUUCUUUGCUAUUUUGUAUAAUCGGUGAGUUUUUUUUUUUUAAUUAGAUUUUGACUUAUUUUCCUAAUUGAGUGAAGUUUUGAAUCCUAAAGCUAUAUGUUUUAUGCAAUUAAGAUCAUGCAAAUCCUAGAAUUUUGCAUUAAUUUUUAAGUUGUUUGAUGAAAAUAAGUGUUUAUUUUGUUCCUUACAUCAUUAACAUGUAUCUUAAGGGCAGAUAAAUUAAAAAAUGCUCGAAAUUGUUAUCUAUUAUUGCUCAGAUUUAUGGAUUGUUUGGUGAAAGUUGGUUUUCUGGUAUUAUGAAAUGUACAUCAAUGUUAAAUCACUAGCGUAAAAAUGCUAGAAAAUUUUUGCUUCUGAAUAUGCUUGCAGUGGGAAAUUUCUGUAGUUAGACUCCUGAAAUUGAAAUAUCAUGCUUGACUUUUUGAAAAUUUGAAGUAAAAUUUUACUGUUGGAGAUUGCUGAAUAUACCUUAAGAAAAUUUAUGUAAAAACAUUGGCAUGAAUCUUGAAAUGUGCCAUCUAAUGUUGCUUACAUGCUUGCAUUGAAAGGUGUAGUUAGUUGAUUUCUUUACUUAAUUUAAGUAGCGUGUUGGUAUGAAAUUUGAACUAUAUUCGUCUUAGGUUAAAAUUGUAAGUUUAUUGUGCUUUAAGUCUGUGAAACUUUAAGAAUACUUCAACAUGAUUUUUUUUUUUGCAUCAUGCAUCUGCUAUAAUGAUAUGUUAUUUUCUGUCUUGCUAACCCGAAUUAUUUUUAACAGUUUGUAUCGUUGGCGGAUCCAUCAAUUAGUGUUGAUUGUUUGGUUCAAAAGUUUGAUAGUCUAAGAGUUUUUAAAUUAUUUCUUAUGUCCUUGUCUAUUAUAAAUUAGUAAGACAUUUUAAUCCUCACUCAUUAUAGGCUACAAAUGAAAAAAGAUUAAAUUGGAGUUAGAGUUUUUCAUUAGCCCAUACAGAAACAUGAAAUCUCAUGAAGGCGUAGGUACUUUACUAUUUCUUAAGGGAUAAAACUCAGAUAUAGAGCUCAUGUUAUGUAUGUGUAAAUAAAUGAUAAAUAUAUAACAUAAAUAAAUAAAUAAAAUACAAACAAGAAAAAGAAAAAAAUCUUAAACUUAUUUGGUUAGCUAGGCUUAGAUAAUAAAAAAUUAUUUACUAACCUGAGUCUGAAUUUCUCCAGUGGAAUCAUCAAACUAUCAUAAUAUAUAGAUCCAUAAACCUAUUACUGCACAUGGAUUUUAGGAAUCAUAACAAUCCUUUUUAUUUAAGUGCAAUUGGUCACCCAACUAAAUCUGUUUCAUUUAAAAACUGGUCUCAAGAUUGACUUAGGUAUAUUUAAAUAAUACAUUUUGAUCCAUAAAAUUAGAUUUUAGAUUCAGAAGUGCUAUACACGUGAAAAAUGUUAUAACACCCUUAUAGCGCUCAUCCAAGAGAUAGUACCAGAAGGCUCAGCUCGUAAUAAUUUGUCAAACUCUUCCUCAAUAGUCUAUUAUCUUUCAAGGGCAAAAGUUUUUUUUUUUUGUUGAACUGGUUUAAUCUCAAGAUUGGUAUGUAGUCUAUGGACCAUUACUUCGAUAACAAUCCCAGGCAUAUCAAAUGAUGUCCAAGCAACUAGGUCGGCCUUAUUUUUUAUAAGUUGAAUCAGUUGGUCUAUAUACUAGAGCUUGGCUCUAAUCUGUAUGUAUUUUUUAAGAAUGUUGUUCCAAAACAAAAUUAUCAUAAGGUCUUCAGUUGAGUCGAGUCGAUUUACGUCCAAGUCUAGGUUUUGAUCAAUUAUCUCUUUUUGUUCCAUUAAGUCAGGAUCAUUUCUUAUGAAAAUAGAUCCUGACAUGAUGAUUAGUUUAUUAAACAACUUAUUAAAUGUAUUAGUAGAAGUGAAGUAUAUUAUUCAUUUAAUACUAUAUUUUGACCGAUGUGUUAGCUCGAUCUAAGUAACAUUAAAAUUUUCACAUCCACUUAUGAGCUCAGUCAUUUUUACUGUUACCUCAAAAUUAAAAAAAAUAAAACAAAAUUAAACUUUUGCAGAGCGAAGAAGCUCAAAGCGGCUUAAGAGUACACUUUUCCCAUAUCAAAUCUUACAUUUUAUGUUUUUAUCAAUGAUUUUCUGCUCUUUGUCAAUUCUCUAUAUUGAUUUCUCUUUGUUUUUUACCUUGAUAUCGAUCGAGCUACCUGUCUACUUCCCAAUCUUACCCUUUAUCAUUGUGACAUAACAUUACCAUGCUAUGAAUUAGUCUCAUCGAACGUCUCUAACCACUGUUGGUGUUAAGAAUUCCACUUUCAAAUAGGGAAUUAAGCCUAUGAGCUGCAUAACAGAUUGGCUAAGUCAAUCUAAUAUCAUGUUGUAAGCAGAUGGGACAUUUACUACCAUGAGCUCUACGAUCGAGGAAAUCAUUUUUGACUUUGUCUCUAAGGAGAUCAAGAGCUUGAUAGUUCUUCAUACGGACACUUGUUCAUUUUCAAACCCCACUAAUGUUUUGGUGAUCAUCUUUAAUUGAUCUUCGUCGAUCCUUAUUUUCUUCAAACAAUCAUAGUACAUAAUGUCAAUUGAACUCCCAUUGUCAAAUAGAAUUCUUUUGACCACAUAGUUGUAUACCAAGGCUAUGAUCACUAUGACAAUAUCAUAUGGGUGUUAAAUCUCUUCAAAAUCUUUUGAGCUGAAUAAGAUUGACUCAUCUUUUCAUUUUUUUUCUUUCUUAGCCAAUGUGUCUACUACAAUUAGCAUGCUUGGGUUAAACUUCCUUUUCGUCAAGAUAGAGCUACCUCCUACGAUCACGUUAAUCACCCUGACAAUUGACCUAUUAUUAUCAACUCGAACCUCUUCCUAAUUUAGCUCUUCUCUUAGGACAUCAUUUCUUCCCUGAUAUGAUCUUCCCUAUUUGUCCUAGGAUAGUUCUUUGUGGUCAUUUUUGUAGUCUCUUCUAAACUAGUUAUGUAUUUUUUAUCCCAUACAUAUUUUCAAUUGAUCUCGCCUUAUCAAAGCUUUAAUCUCUUUUUUUAGGUCAACACAAUUUUUGAUAUUAUGGUCGAUAUCCUAGUGAAAGGCAUAUCUUUUUGUUAAAUCCUAGCUUGUGUUUUAUCUCAAUGGUUUAGGCCAUCUAAGGUCAGAAUUUCUUUUGAUUUGCAUCAAAAUCCUCUUAUAGCAGGUAUUCAAUGCAAUGUAGCUUUUUUCUCUACUAAUGCUUCUAACCUUAUGUUGUCUUUCAAUUGGAAGAAGAUUAUAGAAUUUCUUGUUUUUUUUACAAUCGAGAAAUGAAGAUAAGCCUUUCUGAACUCAGCCACCGAAGAAUGGAGAUAGGCCUCUCUCACCUCAGUUUAAUUUCAUUAUAGCUUCAAUGUUGAUGUAUUUCUCUACUAUUAGUAGGACGUGGAUCAAAGUUUUGGAUAGAUCUAACGAUAAUGUCAACUUUAAGUGGUACUCUUUAUUGUUGAGUCAACUAGUCAGUACAACAACAACGAUCGUCUGUUCUAGCUCUUUAACCUGCAGAGCUUCUGUAUUAAAACGUAUGACAUAGCUUUUUAAGGUUUCAUUUUGCCCUUGGUAAAUCGACAUCAAGCUCAAUGUCAUUUUUUUAGCUCUCCGACUACUUAUAAAUCUGGACAGGAAUGAAUGAUUGAGCUUUUUAAAUGUAGUGAUCAACUUUGGUUGCAGAUUGCUAUACCAAGAUUAAGCUCGGUCUUUCAACGAAGUAGCUAGACCUUUGCACAUCAGAGCCUCAUCUGCCUCUUGUAUCAUCAUAUUGGUUUUAUAAAGUUUUAAAUGAUCAAAUGGGUCAAAAGUACUGUCAUAUAUCUCCAAAGUUGGCAUUUUAAAUCCCUUGGGAGGCAUGGUUUUGUCAAUCUCAUCAGUAAAGGGCGAAGUCUCCAGAAACUUGAGCUUAUCCUCAAAUAUUACUAUUUUAGUUUUUAGUUCUUUGUCCAUGGCUUGCAUCCGAGCUUUCAAAUCUCUGUUCAGUUGAAGUUUAUGGUCUGUUUGUUUAAACUUUUAGGUUAUGGUAUGUGUAAAAUUAUAGCUAUGGUGGUGAUGAGUUAGAUUGGUGUGUUCUAUUUAUCUAGAGGCCAAAAAGGCUUUCACCGUUUUUUAGCUUAGUUGUCCGAUAACAGCUUCUCAGUCCAGUGUGAUUAAGUCUAGCACUUGUAGUGGGGUUAUAGUUUGUAGCAUCUGUUUGAGGGCUUGUAUUUGCUUGGUCAGGGAUUGAAAUUACUCCAUGAUUGGCCUUGCUUGAGUUGGGCGAACAGAAUGCUGACUUUGGUGAGUUUUUGUUCUAGCUGAAGCGGUUGCCUAUCAUUCCUCUUAGGUUUUUUUUUCAUAGUAACAUUAUUUUAUGCUCGGCUAAUAUGAAAAUGUUGCCCUUACCGGCACACCAAAUGUUGGUGCCGACCUCCAACCUGAAGAUAUUUUUGUAAAUGCAAAAAAGAAAUAUAGUUAAAAGGCAAAAAUAGAGGGUAUUCUUUGCAUUUGCACUCCGACGUGCAAGUUAAUAAGGAUCAGAUCAAAAAAAAAGUGAAAAAAUAAGAAAAAGAGAAAGAAAUGAAUUGAAUGAACCUCACUUCAUAAUACUUGAGUUUUCAUAUUUAUAAGUAAGUUAUACGGAUAAAAAAAAGAACAAUUCAGAUAGAGUUGAAUUGCGGUAACACUAACCAUUUCAAAUCAAUUUGAAAUGUUAGGUCAGCACAAAUGAUUAAAAUAUCUCUUAUUAUACGUUAAAAUAAAAAAAAAAAAACUGUCUUUUUUAUUAUUAUAUGCCCCUAAAAAUAAAAAAUGAUCAAAGCUUGGUACAACGAUUAUAUCCUGUUUUACCAGGGAAAUAAGUAGGUCCUGUUGGACCUUUUUUUCAAGAAUCUGACAACGGUAAGGAAGAUGCUUAUAUGUGUAUAUAUAUAUAUAUAUAUAUAUAUAUAUAUAUAUAUAUAUAUAUAUCCCGGAAUGGCUCAGCAUGCAAGAAGGAACCUGCUUCAGUUGUGUUAAUUUCCUCUGAAGUGACUACUUAUUUUCCAAGGAAGAAAUGGAGGAAAUUCGUCUUGGGCUAGAUUUUGGCAACGUCAGCUUUAUAUGGGUUGUGAGAUUUCAAGGUGGAGAUAAUGUUGGUAUCCAUGAAGUCCAUUGGAAUACUUUUCAAAGAGAUUUGAGAGAGGCUUGAUGGUGCGAACUUCAAAGCGAAAAUCCACGCAAGACCGGUGAAGUAAAUUUGAUUUGUUAGACAAAUCCAAUCACAAAAAAUUAAAUUAGGUGAUGCAAUUAUGAGAAGAAUCUAAGGAUGCUCUUAAGCAAAAUUUAAUGCAAUCAAAGCACCAAAAAAGAGUCAACUUUAGUCCCGUACCAUAUAUACAAGAACAUGACUUUAACAUACUCAAAAUGGUGGAUCAUGCACAUUUUUCUGCAUCUCUCAGCAAUCUCUCCUUGAUUACUGAUUUCGCUUUCUUUUUCGUUUCUCUGUUUAUUUAUUUAUUUCUCUAAAAUUUUCGCUUUCAAUUCCUUAAUGGUAGUCGAUAGAUCUUUUGAAGUAUGACAAUAAGUUAAUUUGUUCUGAUAUGAAUUGGAGUGGUCCAAAUGAGCUUUGUCUGCAUGUUUUUUUCAUGGGCUAGUUUUCAUCUCGAUUGUAAAUAAAAUUGCAGCCCCCGCUAACAAAACUAUGGAAAUUGGUUUUUUUUUUUUUAAUGUUCCUCUACAAAGAAAAACCCAGAUCAAAGCAGCAGCUUCAAUUUUCGAUCUGUACCAUAUACAACCAUCCAAAAAGAAGGAAAGAGAUAGAGGAACAGAAAUUAUUCUUACUGUUGAAUGUAUAUACAUCCCCACUGGGAGCUUGGUUUUUUAUCUAAAACGAAAAACCCAAGCCCCAAGAGCUAACAACAAAAAGUUUUUUUUUCUGUUCCUUUUCUUUUUUUACAAAAGUAAACGAUUUGGUAUAGUAGGGGAGUUCAUAAACCAAAGAUGCUGAUGCUGCAAUUUGGAAAUUGUUGCUAUGAUUAUAUAUUGAUAGAGUCUUGCUGAAGAAAGUGGCAAGAAAAUAUAGUUAGAUGGAGCAGCCUGAUCUUGAAGAUCCGAACAUUUGAUCAAGAAGGAUAACAAAAGCCAUGGCAAAGUCCGCCCUGAUAUUGUCAGGCUGAACAACAAGACGGAAGACGUCGAUUCCAAAGGCAACUCCACCAACAGCCUCUUUCCGCUUGAUCUCAGCUACUAACCUCCUCUUGACAUCGUACACGGCACAGCAUCGUUGGGAAUAUGACCCCUCAAUCUCGUACAUGAUGUUGUUAUUUCGAUUGUUUGUGUUCCCUGCGAAAACGUGAGCCAAGCACUUGUUGUUUAGGAUGUUCAGUGAUUUCCUGACAGAAAGUGUGGGAUUCACCAAGGUUUCUCCCUCGUAAACCAGCCAGCUAUCUCCGAGGCUCAUUUUCUGACGAAAGAAACGUUGAAACAUCAUCAUCAUCGAUUUUGCAAUUAAUUAUUUUUGAAAGUAUGUCUCACGUAGGAAAAGGUACGAACCUUGCGGCGGAUGGUGAGGAGAGGCUUGCCAGUGGCAUCCAUGAGAAGGAUCUCGCCCUUGUUGCCUUCCAUGUAAUUAUCCACCCUGAACACCAAAUCACCAUUACCAUCAAACACCGUGAAGCCGUUACAGUUGAACAACAACGACUUUUUCCAGACAGUUAGAAUAGCCUCCCAUGUGUCAGCUGCUACUAACAGCUUAGACGGCCUCUCGGAGAUGGCAUCGCUGCCAGUAAAACUAGCGUUUGGAUAAACCUUUGUCAUCGGCGUAAAAGGUUCCAGCCUUUUCAACUCUAAUUGGAAAGAGGAUUGCAAUUUACAAGUCAACCAAUAGUACAACUCAACUCAUUAUGAUCAAACUGUAGAGUCUGAAAGAUGACAGAAAGGAGAAGAGAAUAAAAAUCCAAAGCUAACCUUUCCAGCUCUGGUUGGGUGCCCGAGUUAGGCAGAGAGUAGAGAUCAGAGCAUAACAUAUAUAAGGGGAAAGAAAUGGGGUUUGAGAGACGAAAAGAGGCGCAGCAAUUGGGUAAAAAAGUCUAACGAUCUUUUGAUUGGAAGAAAGUGAAAGGGAAAGGGAUGGCUUGUAAUUUGGAUGCUCAGCAUUGGCCAUUGAGACAUCGAUGCAUAUGUUAAAGACCAAAAGCUUGUUUUAGAAAAAAAUAUAUAUUAGGCCGGCGCCUGCCCAAUCUUUACUUCAAAGGCUGCAAAUGUUAAUUAAUUUGUUUUUGUAGUCUUAAAAUAACUAAAUAAAGCUAUAUUUUGUGGCUGAUAACUAGUUUGCGAUUGGUGCGGAGAGUGGACACUCAGCAGUCAGCCCAAUACUCUUCCUUAGAUAUUUUUCUGACGAUGUUACCGUUCACCGUCUCUUCAUGUUUUUAAUAAGUAGAACACUGGUAUUUAUUAUUUAGUAACCUUGACAUAAGUAUUUAGGGUAGGACAAAAGGCUUGACCCCUUUAUCUCCCAUUAUUAUUUCACAUAGAGCCGCAAACGUAACGAUAAAUAUGAUAAUUUAUGUUAUCAAAUCAUAUAAAAUAUUAUAUUUAUAUCAUAUUUUUAUAAAAAUUAUAUAUCAUAAUUUAUAUUAAUAUAAAAAUAUAAAAUAUAAUUUUUUUAUUAAAUUCAUCUAUGGGUUUUUUAAAAUUUUAAAUUAUAUUAUUUUUUAUUUUUCAUUUAUAUCAUUUUUAUAUCUUAUCAUCAUAUCAUAUUCAAAAUUUUCAUAUUUAUGAAAUAAGUUAGACGGUUCAUAAUAUAAUAUAAUUUGAUAUAAUAUAAAUUAUAUUUGAUUUAAUUUAUUGUUAUGUAAUCGAAUUAAAUCAAACAUGAUAUAUAUAUACAUAUAUACACACAUGUCGUAUUAAAUUAAAAAAUUUUAAGCUUAUGAAUUGAAAUGUAUGAUAUACAGACUAAUCGUGUUAUGUUGGCUUAUUAUUAUUAUAAAUGAACUUCUAACCUUUUAAGUGUAUUUAUAUUUUUAUUAUAUUACAAUGAAAUUAUAUUUUCUUUUAAUAUUUUGUUAGUAAUUUAUGUUUAAUUUAACUAGUGAUUAGUAAAAAAAAUGACAAAAAUAAAUUAAGACUUCAAGUAAGUACAAAUUCAAUUAAUAAAGUAAAUUAUUAUAGGAUGAAAGGUAUAAAAUAAUUAUACAAAAUAACAUAUUAUAUAAAUAAAUUAUCAUAUGAGAAUAAAAAAUAAAAUAAUAAUCUUGUAUCUUAUAAUAUUUUUUUAUAUGUAUGUGUUUUUUGAAAUAUUAGGUUUGUAAUUUUAAUAUUUUUAUUUAGUGGAUUCUAUUAAUCCUAUUUUUGGAUGUAUAUAUUUUGUUGAAUCAUAUAAAUAAUUUGUCAUUUUUAUUUCAUUUUAUUUUUCUUUAUUUUUGCAUAUUAUUUUCAAUAAUAGAUUAAUUUUUUAAAAAUAAUUAAAUUUAAAAAUUAUUAAUGAAUUAUACUCGACCUAUUUCGAUAAGAAAAAUAAUAUUAUAUUUGAUACAAUACAAUCUAAAAAAAUUACGAGUUAUGUGCCGUAUUAAGUCUUAGUCUUAGCCAUCAUAACCAUAUUAACAUGACACAUUAAAAGAUAAUGUUUGACUGGCACUAUUUAUUAACAUAUAAGUUAAUAUUUAAAUAAAUUAUACCGGCCUAACACGACCAUUUGAUACCUCUAAUUUUAUGCAAGGUUUCAGCCGCCUUUUCUAUAAAAUCAUUCAGAUUGGGAUAGGGCGGUUAUUAAGAGUUUUAGUUGCCAUUGACAUUAGUAUUAAUUAUUUAAUUGCACAAAUUAAAAUAAUGUCAUUUUUUAUUUUAUUAAAAAAAUAAAUAAGAAAUGAGAAAAAUGUGGAUAAGUAUAUAUAUAUUUAUAAAAUUAUUUAUCAUUUGUUAGAUUUAUUUUUUAUUUUAACUUAUAAAGUAUAUAAUGAUAAAAUAAUAUUAAUUUUCAUUUUUUAAUUAGUUUAAAUAUAAAAUAUUCUUGAAUUAAAAUUAAAUUAUCAUUUAAAUUUUUAUAUUUUUAUUACAAUUAGUUAAACUUUUGAACAUUUAUUUUUAUUUAAUUGAAUUUUGAAUUAAAUCAAAAUUAACCACGUAGGUAACAUGAUUAUGAUGAUUAUUAAUUCAUUUCCGUCCAAUUAAAAACUCAAUUGAGUAAAAAUAAAAUUUUGAAAAGUUAAUUAAUUAUAAUAAAAAUAUAUGACUUGGAUAGUAAUUUGAAAAGUUUUUAUAGAAAAGAUAGUAAUUUAAAUUUUUUAUAUUUAAACCUUUAUCUUUUGAUCAAGCAAUUAAUGCAAAGUAAAAUUACUUUUUUCUUUUAUUUUUCAUUUUUUUACCAAGCAUAUUAGGAAAAAAUAUAUAUUUUUCAUCAUUUUACUUUUCAUUUUUCUAUUUUUUUUCAUUUUUAUCCACCUUAUCAAACAAAAAGCUCAAGACUAUAUAUAUAUAUAUAUAUAUAUAUAUAUAUAUGUAAAAGAUAGAAAAUGGUUUGUAGAAAUUUAACUGCUUGACAGGAAAAAAAGAGAUUGAUUAAUUGAUAAUCAAGUUAACUUAGCUGACCUAACAAGAAACGUAAUCACCAGAAAAAAAAAAAAAAAAAAAGAAGAGGUUUUGCAUGACUAAUUACCUAAACAACUCGUUGCAUAGUGUUUAGUUACAAGUUGUAAUAUAUCAGCUAUUUUAGUUUAAUGCCAUUAAACUAGCUUUGUUGUCCCUGCCAUGAAAAAUAUUUUCAGAAUUGGGAAAACAAGCACUUUUAAUGUGCCUUUUUUAAGCAAAAUAGCCAAAUUUUCAUUCUCUUGGCUUGCCCGGUUAAUGACCCUGCCACCUCAUGGCCGGUCUUUGAUUCAAGUCUACGCAUUCGAGAUAGGUAAAAUGAUGAGGAGGGUUACUUCCAUUUUAAUUGUAGACCUACAUAAUACCAUCUAUCAACUGUAUGAAUAAACUUAAAUUAAGUUUCGUAUUCAAUUUUAUACUAACUUUACACAGACAAACUAAUAUUUACCGGUCAUAAAGGAAUUGAACAGCAAAACAAGCCAGACAUAGAUUAGGAACUGGAAGAAUCAAAAUAUGGAUUCAGUUGCAAGUUGUAAAUGGGAUAAAAUUGGAACUGAAUUUUUUUCAAAUUAUUGACCAAGUUUUUAUAGUGGCAGAUCACCUUUUUUCAUUUUAAGUUAGAUAGGUGGCUUGCUGACAAACAUAAGGAAUAAUUCACUAGGCAAUGAUGGCUAAGCAAGCACAUCUACACUUGUAGCAGUAGUGGAAGAAAGUUGACCUGUUUGGUGACAAGCCUUCUCAGUGACUACAUUCCUAAAUCAGAGCACUCCCCAUUGAAGAACCAGUGAAUAACAUGAACAGAAACAAUAAAUGUUCCAAACAUCAGAAAACUGGGUGUCAUUACAGCACACAAAGCGCAUUAUGUUGUUGUAGUCAGCACAAUUUAGCCAAGGUUUUCAAUGUUUUUGCUCAGCUCAUCCAGCUUCUUCAUCCUUAAUAUCUCACUUUCACUCACCAGCUGACCACCAUUUGACAGAAAGGAAAAAGAAACUUAGAAAUUAUCAUAACAAGGUUUGCACAUAGUAAAUAAAUGCUCCUAUUGAAUCGAUAACAAGAACACAUAUUCACCUCCAUUAAUUUGCUAACUAGUUGUGCUUUCUCCUUAUUCUUGCCAUUGAAGGCGUCAAGGGCUUCUUUGUAUUCUCUUUCCUGUGAUUAUCAAAACUCUUGAGGGGCUAGGAACAAACUAUUACUACUUGAAUAUAUAUUGAACUUUUAUGCUGCCAUGAUAUAAUGACAACAAAAAUUUUACUAGAAAAUGUGAAAUUUCGGCUAAAAGGCAUUUACUUGUCCCAUUUGGUUUGAACCAGAUUUAGCUUAGUUAGUUCAUUAAGUCACUUUUAAGAGAUGACAUCUAAUAGGUUUAAAAUUCAAAUCCCAAUACUUACAAUCAUUUCUUCUAUUCCCAGAUCCAUUGUAAAUCAUUUCUUCUAUUCCCAGAUCCAUUGUAAUAAUCAAUAAUGAAAAUAAUAUUUGCACCUUCUUCUGGCAGCUCUGUCCCAGUGGUUUCAGCUCUCGGUUAACGGUGUCUAUCUUCUUGCGCAGAAUUGCAACUUCCUUCUUCAUUGGAUCUAUGAGGGCAUCAAGCUCCUGGAAGAUUUUAUCAAUUCAAAGAAGCAGACAUUUGAAUCAUUACAGUUAAACAUCAUAUUCGUUUUCAAUUCAAAGUACCCUUUAAAAGGAAGAAUUUUAUUUAUAGAUAUUAUGAUUCUACUUAGAAUCUCGAAACCGAGAAAUAAUGAUCCAAAACAACCAUUUGAACCCAACUUAGCUACACUGCAUCACUCUUUUACUCAUAUUAAACAAGGUAGCAGAAUAUCUGUUUAUUGAUUUUUUCUUGAGCUGAAUCGAGAUGUUGUUUCCUUUCAGACUUCUCAAUGUUCUAAAACAAAAGUCAUGUUGCAUUAAUAUCAUAUAGAUUCACGUUUUUCAUAAAAAAAAAAUGUCCAUGUUUUAGGCCAGUCCAGAGUUAAUAUAUACUACUUGAUGCUACAUGUGAAUUCCCUCAUUCUAGUUUCUAAACUGUGAUCCAAUAAAUUUGAUUCGGAAACUUACUUCUCGAAUGUCAGCCAAGCGCCUAGUUGCUUGUUCGACGCGUCCCAUAUAAGCCUGAACCUUGUCCCUCACCUCCAUCUUCUUUCUCUCAAUCUCUUCUUCUUUAGCUCGAAACAAUGCCAAUGCAGAUUUCGCCAUUUCCUCUUCCUUGUCAUCUUUUAUUGGACUCCCAUUGCAACUGAUAAUCCCCGAAUUCUUUACUCGCUGCAUCUGUGAUUGUUGUUGCUCCCAUAUCUGCUUUGGUGUUGCCAUUGAUGCCAUCUUUCACCCACCUUCUUUUCUUCAUACAAUUCUCUUUUACCCCCUCUCUUUUCUUUUGCUCUUUUUCUUAAGAAUGAUGGCUCUCUUUCCUCUGCUAUAGGUGGUUAUAUGCAAGGCUGGCCGGCUUUAAAGCUAUGAAACCAACCAGCUUCCUUUAACACGAAACAAAUAAUUUGUAAUCAUGAUGUUAGAGAGGAUUUUCACCUUUCUUAAACAAAGACUUAAAUCAAAUGCUCUUUCCAAUCUUUACUUUAACACCCACUUUAACAUCAGUACAAUUUUUGUAUUCAUAUUUUAGCAUAGAAGUAAGUUAUCAGUAAUUCCAUGUACAUUUCUUUCUUGUACACCUUUCCAAUUGUAUUGUUUUAAGCCUGGAAUGGAGGAGGACCCAAAUGGGCCUGCUUUGGUAAGCUAGCUUUGCUGGAGGGUCCAGUCAUAAAACGUGCCUGCUGAUGCGGUAAGAGCCUGGGUUCUUAAAUGCAGCCUAAAUUGGCCUAUUUACAAGUUCAGUUAACUACUGCUGUUCUUCUCACUUGUGUAGAAGAAAUACACAUUUUUUUAAUAAAAAAUACACAUAAGUAUAAAAAAUUUUAUAAAAUUUACCACCUCCUAGAGUAUAUGUGAAGAAAUAUAUCAUUAUUGGUAUACAAAUCAUUUUCCUACUUCCAAAAUAUAAAUAGUUUACAAUAAUGUUGCUGUCAUUUAAAUUGAUAUAUAUUGGUUGAAGGCUCCUAAAGAGUAUUGGUAGAUCUUCUUUUCCCUUGAAGAGGAGUGCUUAGAAAAGAAGGCUUCUUUCUGUGGAAUUGACAAGAAGUGGUCACCUACACAAGACAGGGGAGGAAAGCCUUAAGAGACAAGACAGAGUAGGAGGGACUGUAGCUGCCCUUAUUACAUAAUAUUAUUAGCAUUCAUAACUUUCCAGCUUGGACUUCUAAAAAGGAAUCUCUUAAUCUUCUGCUUUUAUCCCUUCUUAUUUCUCUUUAGGAUGAAAGUUUAAGUGGUUUUGGAGAUGUGAGUUUGAAUGUCGAAACAGUUAUGUGUCCGACACGAGAAUGUUCAAUUUCGUUUUAAGUUUUUUAGGAUCAUAUUUCCGUAUUAAUGUCCACUUUGACUUCAUAUGCUGAUUGUUUGGUGUAAAAUUUCCUGUCUGAUAUCUGAACUAUGAAGUUAGAACAGAAAUGCUUAGACUUUAUAUUGAACAUUCUACUGAUUUUUUCACCGAGGAUUUGAUUUGCCUAAUUUUGUCGAUAAUAAUCAACUUUAUAAACAUUUGAGCAUGUGCUGCUGCAUGCAUAAAUACGAUGGAUUCUUUUCUUCAUCUUACAGAAACCAAUAUGCUGUUAGCCCCCAAGGGAUUUUUGUAGUAUGGAUUCAAAAUUCAAAAUCCUUUCACCAAAUUCCUGCAAAUGUCAAAAAAAAUUUAUUAAAGGUUGGGGGUGUUGCAAACUGUCAGAAUCAUGUAUGCUCUACUGUGUGUUUCAAUUUUUUGUUAAUGGGGCAUCAUUCAUAUCUUUAACCUCUGCAAUCUCGACUCUUUAGCACAGCCUUGAUUUUUGGUAUAUUUAUUCUUUUAACAUGGUUGAGAAUGACUAGCUUUAAGUUGAGCAAAGACAGGCCAGCAAGGUCAACUAGUGUACUCAAUUUUAGGCCCUUCGGCCUUUGCUAGUUCAGCGUUUAGCUUUUAGGGUAUGCAUGAACUAUGAAGUUAGAACAGAAAUGCUUAGACUGUCCCUGGUUUCAGAGACUUAGGGCUGAGUGGCCUUUUUCAUUGCCUUGCAGUAUUUGAAGAAAGAAAUUAAAAAUUGCCUUAGAAAUUUAAAUUUUUUAUUUUGAUUUAUCUGCAAAAUUAAUAUAACUAAUUUCAUGGAUAAACAGAAUGGUGAACUUGCCACGUGUCACAUUCUACCUUCAUUGACACCCAGCCAUGGAACCUCUUCAGGACAACAAGAAGCAAAGAGACUUCACAAGCUUUAAGCUGACAACAAACAUGGGAGGGCUGAGUUCCAGUAGUAGAGAAACACAGAAAGUGCCAGUACACAAGGUUGAAUAUUAUCAGAAACCCUAAAAAAUUAGUUUUACAUGAGUUGCUCAUGUUUUUAUUCCUAGUAUCACUUCUCUUGGUAAUGAACUUCUAAGUUCAUUUUAUCAGGCAAUGUCGACAACAAAGAAUUUACUUUAAUAUUACAAGCCAUUCCUAUUGCAGUUGCACCAUGCUAGCUAGAUUCAAGUUCAUAAACUUGAAACUUUUAGUAUUCACUUUUAACUUGAAAUCUUAUUCAGAUUGCAUGCACCCAUGUAAUCAACACUCGCAUAGAACGGGAAUAAACAUAACAUAGUAACACAAUGAUGCUCAUACGAGAAGAAAGAAAGAAGUAUAACAAAGUAUUAACAUAAUAAGCGCAAUGAUGAACAACAUCCACAAUACACACACAUUCACUACUUUGCCAAAAAGAAAAGUCAGUCAAUCCCCACUAGCACAGCCCCUAAAUCCACAAUGCACACGCUCAAUUACUUUCUCUUCCCUUAAAUGCUGGGGAACUCGGCAAACACAAGCAGUGUGCUAAAAUUGUGAUCCAGUGGCUGUAUGCAACGAAGGCAACAGAGAUAUUCAUAUCCAGGCUGCAUUAACAAACGAAAUGGGGAAAAAAUUGAUGAAAAAUAUUUGUAGAGACUGCAUUCUUGUAACAUUUUUAUAUGAACCACCAAUCAGAAGGAAAAUUAAACCUUCAACAACCAGAAAAGCCAGCUCAUGCAUCUUCAAGAGUUAGUAAAAGAUUAACAUAAAAGAGUGAUGAAAGUAAAGACCUCAAUAAUGCAUUGACAUUCUAAAUUCAUUUUAAGAUUAUUGACUUUCACUUGGUGCUCUUAUAAUUUUAAAGCUAUGAAAGAGGAAGAUGAAGUAAGACCUCAGAAGUGUGGAGGAUUGGAGAGUGAUAGGAGUUUGGAAGAUGAUAGGGCUUUGGUUAUAAUGAUCUGCAAAGUUGGAGAUGUCCCGAAGACUUGGAGCUAACUUCAAAUUAUUCAACAAUACCUAAUUAUGGCCUAAUGCCCAAACUAUUAUGUAAGGCACAGUUACGUUAAACCUUUUUUCACUUAGCUAUUAAGUUGCAGUCCACAUAGCCUUGUUCCCAACAGCACUCAUACAGCUCUUUAGAUAUUUAAUUUCUUUUAUAGAAAAGAUAAAAAAUUGUAGUGGUUCCUUUGAUGUGCAAUUUUGAAUAUAGGCCACAAUGCUUCACAUUUCCUUUUGCCAUCAUGUGGAUCAUUUUCAGCUGCCAGGUGCCAAAUGAAUAUCAAAUCACCGCAAGUUCAUAAUGAGAAAGCUUAACAAGAGAAUACUAGAAAACUAAUUAAUUUUCUAUUAUGCAGCAUCAAAAUAAAUUAUCAUUUAUCAACCUUCUCUCAUUUUGGCAUCCGGCUCCUUAAGAGUAGGCUCAAUCAAUUCCCAUCCAUCUGGAUAUUUGAUUUGGUUUGUCCUUACCUUAGGCAUUUUUAAACUGCAGGUAAAAAACUCAAAUAUGUCAGAAUGUCAACAGCACAUUUAUCAAAUUUCUUCACCAGUGAUACUAACUCAAUAUAAAGUGUUCUAACAGUGACAUGCAGGUAUUCAUGAUCAACAUUCAAAAUGCAACUUCGACAUAUGAAUCUGUGAGGAUCUGCUUAUUCAAAAGCUUUCUGGCACACUAAAAGUUUGUUUAUAUUUCCAGUUGCACAAUCCAUUUUCAAUUUGAGGAAGAAAUGAACUCUUUAUGUUUUAUUUACCUAUUAGAACUUAUAAAAACUACCAUAGGGGAAAAAGCCGCGCUUAUGGUGCAUGAGAAGGUGAGACCUUUCUCUGUCAUAAUGCUUAUAGUACAAUUUAAAGACCCAAAAGUUUGUCAACUUAUCACCCACGGUGCAUAUACAAUGGGAGAGGCAAUAACACUGCAAGACUCCUAAUGACAAGCCUAUAUAUAUCAAUUCCUGAGUUAAAAGUUAUACAUUCCUACCUUUUCUUAAGAUGCCAUAGGUGUACACUCUCCAAAAUCUUUCAAAUGUCAGAGCAAGAAACUAAUCCUAAAUAUAAAAUGCCUUAAUAAGCAGCAAUAAAUCUUUUAAUAAUCUUUAUAAUUAUCCUACCUCAAGCACAUCUCAGACAAUUUACAAGGAGGAAUGCGGAAAUCAUGCAAGAAAACAGAAAACACAUGUAUCAAAUCAGUCAUGGAGCUUCACUACCAAAACCCCAAAGCUUGUAUCUUUUCUUCAAAUUGGUUUACACUCUCUCCAGCAUUUAGCUUUCUACUUCAACCUCUCAUUUCAGGUCAAUGGUGGUAAAAAAAGGAUUUAGUAUUGGGUUCUUAAUAGGGAUCAGUUGUAGUCUCUAACGUAACAAGCACUCCAAAAUGCUUGUAGAAAUGUAACUUAGAAAAAAGGGUUUAUAGGACAUAUCAGCUAAAAGCACGACACUUACAACAUUAUGUCAAUAAGGUUUUACAAUGGGAUUUGCCCUUGUUUUUACAAACCCAUAAUAAGCAAACUUUUAAAAGAAACGAAAAAAGGCAAAAUUUCGUUCUGGUUUUUCUAAUCUGAACGGGUUU